This 70683-nucleotide long non-coding RNA is filed under the name Brachypodium distachyon (stiff brome). RNAcentral's name for it is "long non-coding RNA (BDIS_LNC005914)". The record is from RNAcentral. Lineage: Eukaryota; Viridiplantae; Streptophyta; Magnoliopsida; Poales; Poaceae.
CACACGCGGCACUGGCUAUAUAUCCCAGCGGCGUCAUCCCCUCCAGACGCACGACAAGUCGCCAACCCGGCCCAACCGCCAAUCAGCAUCAUCUUUCUCCUCUCCUCAACCCGCGACCGGAAAGGAAAGCAGAUUCCUCCGACGAAGAAGAGCCUAGCGGGAUCGGAGAUGGGAGGCUUCGACGUGAAGCAGCGGACCAUGGAGCUCAAGAUCGCGGUGAUGAAGGGCGUCAGGGUGGUCGGCGACUUCAGCAAGAAGACGUGGAAGAAGGUGAAGAGUGUCAAGCGCUGAGUGAUUGAUCGGUUGGUCCAGCGCUGGCUUGUGUUGAUUCGUAUGAUUGAUAGCAGGUGUGAUUUUGGUUGUGGUUGUAAUUGGCUUUGUUGGAUCUGUUUGAGGCACCUUUUAAUGUGAGAUUUUGCCUGUUUGUAUGGAUUAUAUUAUAUUUUUGUCUUCUGGUUUUACUUGAUUGAUCGUGUCUGCUGUUUUUUUGCUUGGUUCGUCUUCCAUGGGUGAAGUUUAUGGUGAAUUGCUGAUAGUUCUGUUGUUGUUGAGAUGUUUGGUCUGUUCUUGCCCACCUAACAGGCGAUCCAUCCAUAUCCUGAAAACUAUACACGCUAUUUUCAUCAGGAGGUGAAAAUCUGGCAGACUUCUCACCGUUACACAUUCGAUGAAACAAGGCUCAAACUUAUGAUCACAUAUUCUUACCGAUGAUUUUAUCUCAGCUAUAAAAGAAAACUUGGUUGCUAUUGAUCUACGCAUCACAAAAUUUUCAGUAUGAAAGGUUGCUGCGCAUCACAAAAUUCUCAGUUAGACAGUAAUACGAGCUAAGACUGGAGUAGUUUGCCUCUGCACUACAAAGGGCUGGACAUACACGGCAGAUGCGUCCUUGGUGUUUAAAGUUCGACAGCUAGCCUCUUCAGACUAAAAAUUUAAGAGCUGAGCUGGCUGUGGUAGCGGAGCUGUACGAAAAAAAAGAAAGUCCUCAGGCAACAACUCACGGCACGAUGGCACACCGCCGUAUGCGGAAACAUAUGCUGAACAGCAGCAGAAAAUGUUUCUUACGCCUCGCUGUACUAGCUGAUGCAUAUAGCAGCACGUGAAACCGCUUUCAAAAAUAAAUAAAUUAUACAGCUACAAUACCAGCAUUUUCCAAGCCAAAACGGCAAAAUUCUUGUGCUAUUAAACAGCGGUACAUGCAUCACGGUAAGUUGCUCACUCUACAGUGCUCAUGAAGAUCUAACGGGAAUAACCGCAGGGAAUUGGAAUGUCCACAAGCCGCCUACUGCGGAGGAGCGUCAGGAUCCAACCUUUUCUGGAUUGCAGCUGCGGCCUGAUAAAGAAUAUGUUUGGCAUUAAUUAAAUAUACAUUUCGCCUCUAAUUACACUGGCAAGGUUAGAAUAAAGGGCAUACCUCAAAAUUCCCCAACUUGUACUGGUACAUCAUUUCCUCACGCAGGAGGGCCUGCUCCUUCAUUGCUUGAGCCUAAAAUGGGGAUCAAAGCAAGCAUCUAUGUCAGAUGACAGAACAAAAAGGUGAAAUUUUUGUAAACCCAUUCUAAGCAAGUGAAAUUUUAUGCCAACCCAUUUUAAUGUAUACAACCAUACAGGUAUUCAAUAUCAUGUACUCCAUCCCAAAAUAUAAGGCACAUUUCAAUUGCUUUGACCAAACCUUUGAGCAAACCUUGCCCCAUUAACAUGUGACUUACGUGACCAAAUCAUAAUCAUAAGCAAGUACUUUUGAUUAAGAAUUAAAUGAUGUAAUUUUUUGUCACAUAAAUUGUAUAUUGAUGAAGUAAUUCUUAGUCAAAAGCUUGUUCAAGGAAACAAAAAAUGCCUUAUAUUUUGGGAUGGGUAGGAUCAAAAUCAAAAAAUUGGAUUAAAUAAACCUUGAAGCUCAACACCCCUGGAAAUCCGAGACUCAAAAUUAAAGUAUAACAGAAGUUCGAAAAGAACGAGAAGGGGCAUCUGUAACCAAUUGAUAGAGCACAUGGCUGUGGUGGUUGAGGUCUCCUUGUAGAUUCAAGCCACAUACUCCCUAUUUUAAAAGAUCAUAGAUGCAUUCUCAAAUGAAUGGAAAAAUGAAUAUAUGCAUUCUUAAAUGAAUUGGUGGUACUUGGCAAGUUGGCAUCAAGUGACCAAGGAGAGCUUUCAGCUACGUUGUGAAAGAUUGAUCACACCUACGAUACAUGAAAGGCAAAAAUAAAGAGAACAAGCACUAUUUAGUGACCAAGACACUUCCAACAAGCAUUCUCGUAUUCGAUGCAAGUUCAGAGGACAGAUCAACAAAGAAAAGAACAAGAAUACAAGAAAAAAAACUGCAAUAUUCUAACCAUUCCAGUUUGCAUGGAGCGUUUUAGAGCUGUCACUUCUUCCUCCUUUCGGCGUUCACGUUCCCUCAACAGUUCUAUCCUGCAUGACACAUUUUUUGAGAGAAGUAAAAAAAUUAAUAGCCCAGACACAAUUAACUGUUAAUCUAUCUGUAAAACAUGAAGAUUGCAUGGCAUAAUGGGCUCAUAAUUUGAAAUUGCCGUAAAAUAGUAAUCAAAUGAAUGGAACCUAGGCCAUCUACUUUUUUACCAAAUGCUAUAAGUAGACUUCAGUAAUCUAUAAGUAGACUUAUGUAAUUACACUAAGACAUUCCAUGAUGUCCAAUGCUUUGCUAUUGCAGGUAUACACAAACUAAAGAAAUGUAUAUGUCCACAUACCGUCGCUGUUCCUCGUCAUUAAAUAUUGUGCGCACUGCUACCACACCAGCAUUCUUUAAACCAUCCUUUCUCUCUUUCUCCAUCAUUCGGUGAUGGUAAGCAUCUAAGUCAUAAUAUCUAAUAAGACAACAAAAGAAGGGGAAAGAUAAAUUCCCAUACUGAAUUACUAGCAUAUAUAUAUACACACAACAAGAAUCUAUGAAAAGAAGCAUGCAUUACUUUUUUGAUGGAAAAGUGGCUGUAUUGUGGUCUUCCAUAAAUCUGAGAUGCACAGAAAGAUGUAUGUUAAACAUCCUAUGAAGAUAAGGAAUUCCAGGGAAGGGCAAUACUUUAUUUCUAAGUUCACCAGAAGCUCAUUGAAUUAUUAAUUUCAUGGCAGUAUAGUAACAUACUCCUUAAACAUUUGUUUCUCUUCCCAAUUAGACAAUGCCUCCAAAUUGACCUGUGGCCACAUUCCAAAAUAAAUAAAUUAAGAUUAACACACGAUAUCGUAAAUAAGUAAAUACUCAACAAGAUUGAGUAGUAACAAGAUUGACAAUUUGGUACCAAUGUAAAAUGCACAGCAAUUUUCUUUUUUAUAACAAACGUUAGUCUACUCUAUGUGACCUGAUAAGUGAUAACAAAACUAGAAUAAGAGAGAUUGGCUUAACAAGAAUGCAAGCAAACAUGGUUCAAUAAGUUGGGAGAAAAAUGCUAAACUAAAAAUAUCAAAAGACCAAGAGAGAGAACAAUACUGCUCUGUUCCUCUAACAUUUAGGUCAGCCUAACUUUAUAAAAUUAAAACUUUUUGCUAAAAGAGAAAUAAACAAGCUCUAAUGCAUUGUGCUCAAAUAGCAGCAAUUUUCCUUUAACAAAAUUUUUUACUGAAAGAAUAGUAGUCUACCUAGAAUAACGAUUUCUUUGGAGCUAACUGGUUUGCCUAAUACUAACUGAAAAAUAUAUAUAUAUUAGAAUGGCGUUUCAUUAGUGGGGGACGGUUAGAUACACAUUGUUGAUCUGACAUUUUUCUUGUGUGCGUACUGCGUUCAAGUUCUCAAUAUUUCAUAAAAAUGGCAAUAUCGGUAGAAUGAUAGAAACAAACAUACCUGCUUGACUUCUAACAACCAUGCAGUGAACUCUGGUCGCUUGUUCCUGCAGAAAACAUCACAUGGUUGACCUCAUGAGAGAGUGGUAGAAGUAUAAAAUAAUUGCACUUUAUAAGAUUAUCUAGAGUCUAAACUCAUAAUAACCUACAGGAUCCAUCACUUAAAUCAUUUAAUCCUAUCAAAUAGUAAAAUAUUUCAGAAUGAUCUAAUCUCCAUUUCUGAUUCAUAUUGGCCAUAAGAGGAAUUUUACGCAUUGAAAUUUACAUAUUACACAUUUACCACUAGUAACACAACUGACAAGAUAAAUGAUCUUAGGCUCUUAGCUAUUACCAGUUUACCACAUUCUAACAAUCACUUGCACCAGGGUAACCAACAAGGAAUUGUGAGGCCUCAACACAAUGAAGGGCCAGUCCGGAAACGCCAGCGGUAGCCCACAUUUCCAUCACUCCUCGUUGUCUCCUUGCAUCCCACCUCAUCUAUGGAGCUGCUGUGGAAGCUUCUCUUCCACUGCCACGAUAUCCUCAAGUGAACUCACAGCUAGUCACCAAGGCAUGCAGGAGCAUGGCAAGUGGUACAGGCUCAUUACUACGUACGUGGCAAUCACAUUAGAAUUUGGUAGGGCUCUUCGCUGUCAAAGAGGCAGAAAAGCAACUUUCCAAUGAGAGCAUGUCACCUCCCCUCCUCUGUCCUCAUCUUUGUUAGAUGAUUUUUUUUUCUAAUUUGUGGCUGCUACAUGCUUCCUGAUUGCAGAUCGAGGAAUGAAGAGAGAAGGUGGAGGAGGAGCAGCCAACUAAGGCUUAGAUAGCAAAUUAAGAAGAAGCAGGUGAUGUCUCUUUUUGUUUUUGCUAGAAUUUAAAUCACAGCAAGAAUCGUUACUAUAAUGCAAGCUUGUGAUUCAUGCACAAGAUGCUUCUUUCUGAUCUGAUGCAGUCUGUUGAUUCAUGCAGCGCAGUAGUAGCAAACUAUGUGGAUGUGUUCAUCUGUUACACUUGGUGAUUGAUAACACAACAGUCACCAGUCACUGGUAAUCACCAUGUCAGCUAGCUCUGGAGGCAAUCAAUCCACAGCCAGCAGUUUGCUUCUGGGUGUUUCUAGUUCGCCGGCUCAACAACCAAGCGCAACAGUCAAAGGUGCCAAAGAAGGUGUGUGCUGCAGGCAGUGUCAUAGCCUGCAGAAAUGUUUUGUGGCAGCACGGCUAAGCAUGGUUGGCCGUAGCCUGACCCAUCUUCAUCACUAACUACAGUACUCAUCUUGUUAGCUAAUCAUGAAGAGUAUUCCUCCCAUAUGCAUCCAUAGGCUAUUCCAGCACACAAACAUGAAUUCAUAAUUUUCUACAUGCUGGUUUACCAUAAAACUAAGACAUUGCGAUCUAAAAACAAAGUAAUAGACAGGAUUCUCACCACAUAUCAACCUCACGGAUGAUGCCAUACUUGCCCCACGAGUUGGUAACUGCAGCCUUCUUCCCCAAAUCCUUCUUCUCAUCCUUCCUCCGCUUCUUCUUAUCCUUUUCCUUCUUAUGCCUCUCCUUCUCCUUCCUCUUCCUCUUCUCCUUCUCCUUCCUCCUCCGCCUCCUCUCCUCCUCUUCCUUCUCCUUCCUCCUCCGCCGCCGCCUCCUUCGCCUGUCCUCCUCCGACUCCGACUCGCUCUCCGACUCGGCGCUGGAACCAGAGUACGAAGAUUCGGACUCCGACUCAGACGACGAUCCCGAGCUCUCACUGCGGCUCCUCCUCCUGUGCCGCCGCCGCCGCUCCUUCUCCUUCCUCCGCCUCUUCCGCCGCUCGCCCGAGUCCUCGCCGGAGCUCUCGCUAUCCUCCUGACGCCUCUUUGAUUUGCCACGGUGGCCCCGGUCUCGGCUCCCCUUCGAACUUUCCUCCUCCUCGGCUUCUAGGGAUUUGCUGUCGCUGCGCGCCGCCUCCUUGCCCGCACCAUCAUCUGGGGCAGGUGCCGAGCCGUUCUGAUCCUUGGCCAUGCCUACCCGCCUAGGGUUUCGCCGUUUUGGCGUCGCGGAGGAGACGAGAAGAUCGAGAACAGGGGUGGCAACUGGGAACGCGAGGCGGAUCGGCUGGCGAAUGGCGAAUUGGUGAUGGCCUGCUGGGCUUCGGACUGCGGGGUGUGCGAAGAGGAGAGAUAGCAGCAAAACGUUUCCACGGCCCCUAUGAGGCUAUGACAUGUGGGCCGUUGCUCGUCUGUACUGCUGCCUCUGUACGCGUCUCCCUUCUCCCUCACGCGGCUGCCUCCCUUCUCUGAGGCAAACAAAACUCCAACCUCGCCGCCCGAUCCGACGCUCCGCCGGCCGGCCGCUGCUCGCAAGUUCUGUCGGUCCAACGCGCCUUGACCGCAGAUUCCUGCGUUUGGCCGGCUCUUGCAGCUGACGAACCCGAGAUCGGCACAUCUCGCCGGCUGCCGGAUCUAGUAGGAGGAGCCCGCGGGUGCUAUUAUUGCCUUCUGCGAUGACGAGGGCUCGGGACAGGACGGAGGAUUUCAAGGAGUCCGUUCGCGUCGCCGCGCUCGCCCAUGGCUACACUGAGGUGAGCUCAUGGGGCCCCUGAGCUCAUAUGCCCAACGUGACACCUCGGGAACCCGCGCCUUCUCUUCUCUGCAUCAGAAACAGUCUUCUCUCUAUUUACGGUCCGCUGUGUUGAUUUCUUCUCUUUGCAGGCGCAAUUGGCCGCGCUCAUGUCGGCUUUCAUCAUCCGGAAGCCGAACCCCAAAUCUCCGUUUACAAAAGCAGCAAUCAAGACGGUAGAAAUUUAUUCUUUGGCUGAUCUGUUUUUGAAUGUCAUAAUAACCGGAAACAAUCGCUAAAGCUUAUGGUACUGUUAGAAUGUGGGAGGUUUGCUAGUCUAAUUGCUGGGUUCUGUUGGUGUAGCUUGAGAGUAUCAGGGAACUGGAGAAGUUUAUAGUCAAGCAUAGGAAGGACUAUGUGGACACGCAUCGCACCACAGAGCAAGAGAGGGACACCAUUGAGCAUGAAGUAAGUUCCAACACAUCUAUGUGUUGUUUGUUCUUUACAUUUUCUUCUUGUAUUCUUGCAUGAGGAUUGAGGUAUUUACUCUAACCUUGGCUAGUUGCUAGGAAAUCUUUGUUAAGACAAUCUGAUUCCACAUGCCACAUAUUUUUUAUUGUUAAUGCAAAGCUGAGUUUCAGGUUUAUUUCAUUGCAAUAGCUAUGGUAGCAUUUAGAAUAAUUCUUGGUGAUCUCUCAUCGUGUCCUCCUUUUGCAUUGUGAGAGUUCUUUCUCAGUUCUUCCUUCAUAUCACAACUGUGUUAGUUAGGAUUAAAAUUUGUUAAGGAAGCAUAAUCAUUAUCCCCUUUGUUGCACAGCAGUAAAUAAAUGUGGUUCGUAUAUGUAGCACAUCUUUUUCUUGCUAUUAAUAUAUAUACAGGUAAGGAAUGUGUAUUCUUGUAAAUUUGGGCUUCCGCUCACGUUAUUUUCUCCAUUUCGUAUCUAUGUGAUUACUGAAAGUAUAUUAGGUUGGUGUUUUUGUAAAAGCAUGCAAGGAACAGAUCGAUAUUCUAAAGAACAGGAUCCAUGAAGAUGAGAAGAACAGAAGCGCGAAGACAUGGCUUAGCACAAGAGACGAGGGCUCUCGGUUGGACUUGAUAGCUCAUCAGCACGGUGUGGUAUGUCUAUUAUGCUUCCCACUGAUCAGCUACUGUCAGUUAUUGACAUCGAAACACAUCAUUGCUCUGAUAUUACUGUUCCUUAGUGUGUGUGCACACGUAGGUUGAAUAUGGUAGUGAAGUCUCAUUGCCAUGGUUAUGUCUGUGCAGAUCGUUCUCAAAAUGAUCUUUCAAGGUCUGUUGGGUUAAUUUAAUGUUUAAGAGAGAUCAUGAUAUUGCAAAAUUUAGAAGAAUCAAGUAGGAUUGCAAUUUUUGCCCGCUGCCAAAAACAUUCAGAUUUCAGAAUAGUGCUAGUGUUCCCCUUUUCUCUCUGUGUUGGUAAAGUUGUGCAUAAUUUGCUUAAUUUUCUCUGAAAUUUUAGAAGUUACAGGCAUUCAUCGUACAUGUGUUACUGUGCUGAUAAUAUGUACUGUGGGCAAAUCCUAAAGGGUACUUACUGCUUAGUAUAUUUACGGUGGGCAAUGUUUCGUACACGAGCCGGGUGUUCAAUAGACAUGUCAAAGUGAAUAAUUAUGGUCCUUUCAAGAAUUGAUAAACAUCUAUUUUCCAGAUAUUUGGUUUCAAUGUAUACUAUGCCCGCGGUAGCAGGAUAUGCAUAACUUCAUUGGUUGAUAUCAUUGGGUGGGCUAAAAACAAACACCACAUAACUGAUCAGUCAAAACAAAUGACUUCAAACAAUGUCAAAUUUCACUUUGUAGUUCAGAUAUGCGUCCAGGAAGCAUCAUGUAGGCAAGUACACGGCUGUGCUCUUUCUUACUGGCAUGUUCUCUAAUCUCUAUAUCCAAUUUGUAGCACAAUUAAGUAAUAUUUUCUGGACUAUCCUCCUUGCAAAUAAUUUUAUAGAUUUCAUAUGGUCAGUUCCAAACUUAUAAGCUCUGUGUUCUUUGUACAAUUUUACCAGGUUUUGAUUUUGAGCGAGCGUCUCCACUCAGUAACUGCACAAUUUGAUCGCCUUCGAUCCAUGCGUUUUCAAGAGGCUAUUAAUAGGGCAAUGCCAAGAAAGAAGAUUAAGAAGAAGCCAGAAAUAAAACCAGCUGAAUCAUCCAAGUCAAACCUUGUAUUACAAUCUGAUGUAUCGAGGGUUGGAGAUCAGGAGGUAUCUACUGCACCCUUAAGAGUUCAAGAACAACUCUUGGAUGAUGAAACUAGAGCUCUCCAGGUAAUAUUUUUAUGUGAUCUUACUACGGGUUAGUGUAAGUCGGGUUAUUUACUUGCCUAACUCUUGACUCAGGUGGAGUUAGGCAACCUUCUUGAUACUGUCCAAGAAACGGAGACAAAGAUGAUAGAGAUGUCGGCACUUAAUCAUCUUAUGUCGACACAUGUCCUACAGCAAGCGCAACAGAUUCAAUAUUUGUACGACCAGGUAGGGGAUCUCUUGUUAGCUUAAGCCAACAUUUGGUUGUUUCAUAGGAGUAUGUAGUAGAGGCUGGGAGCAUAUGCAGUGAAAUGGCGAUUUAUAAAUUUUCAAAAAUUCCAUGAAAAGUGUUGGUUAUGAAAACAUUCUCGAAAGAUUCUCAGGUAUACGUAAGACUGGUAUAUAUCCAUGCAAAAUUAAAGAACUAACUAGGGCUGAUUUGCGGUACGCAAAAUUUUCAAGACUCCACAUAUUUUGGCAGGAUGCCUCUAUUAGGGGCUAUAGAUUUUUGUUUAAUUUUGUGAACAGAAACAUACAUAUCCUGCAAAGAGGUACUCCCUCCGUCCCAUAAUAUGAGGCACGCACGCAUCCCUAGAUACUCAAUUUGAUUAAUUAAAUAUGUAUCUUUUUUAACAAAAAGUACAUCAUUAGAUUCGUUAUCAAAAGAACUUUCUAAUGAUAUAAUUUUUUAAUUAUUUAAUUUAUAUUUGAUUAGCUAAAUUGACAAUCUUGGGAUGCGUGCGUGCUUCAUAUUAUGGGACGGAGGGAGUAACAGUUAAUAGCAUAUAUAUAAACAUACAAGGUUCUACAAAGAGAUAACAGAUAAUGACAUUGGACACGCAUCUUCAUUAUCAUGCGCAUAUCAUUUGUUAUCAACUGAACCUUCAUCAGGAUACAUUCAGCAUCUAGGAAUUUAUAAUGACGAUCUUUACUUGCUAACCUGGUCCAGCAUAGCACAAGAUCAUGGUUGGUUUAUUUGCAAGAUCAUCAGUUUUGCCUGCAGAAACCGUAUCCGAAUUAGUGAGAAGCUUACAGUCAGUUGCUUUUUGUCACUGCAUUUCCAUUCUGACAGCGUAUCUUAUCCAUUUGAUUCAGGCAGUGGAAGCUACAAACAAUGUUGAGCGUGGUAACAAGGAGUUAUCCCAGGCGAUCCAGCGCAACAGCAGCAGUAGAACCUUUAUCCUGCUUUUCUUCUUUGUUCUUACUUUCUCUGUUCUGUUUCUUGACUGGUACAAGAACUGAAAUAGCACAUGUAAACGUGGUUCUUUAAAAUUGCGCAAAUGGAUUGAAUUACCACCGGCGUCUCCUAGUCUCUUUAGGGCUUUAGGCGGACCAUAUUUAUGGGCUAUUAUCUUGUUUCAUGCAUAUCGUUCACUGUAAACCUGAGAUUUUGCCAUUAUUGCAAACAUAGUCAUUAGCUCAAAGUGGAUUUGCUCCGUGCCCUGCCAAUAGGGAUGCAAGCAGGAUUCCGCGUUCCCACUUCUAGGCCAAUCUACAAAUUUUAAUCAAUUUUUUUGAACUAAAAUAGAAGUGGAAGAUAAGCGGGAUGCACAUGAAACUGUUUCACUGGACAAGCAACACUGCCGUUUAGGCUGCACGGUGUUCAUCGCUUCGAAGGCCCCUCCAUUCCCUUUACACGGACAAAAAUGCAGCUGGGCAACACUUUUGGUGCAAUAAAUAAUAUACAGGUACUCCGUACUGACUACUAAAUAUCUCAACAGAACUGUUUUGAUCGCGUGAACAUGUCGGCAAACUUCAUCACGCUUGAUGUAGUUCAACUUGACAUGUAACCAAGUAGACAGAUUACGGUGAUGUGCAAUUUUAUAUUGUUCUACAACUACAUGCAAAGUUCACAAUAAAGACAAGAUUUGAAAAGUUGCUCCAGUAACGCUCCAAGCCACCAACCAGUGCAGAUUGAGAUUGAAACAAAAUUGCAGUACAUGGUAGUGACAGAUGCAGGCAAACCAAACAGGAAUUCCUGAUACUGGCAAGACAAGAAUGGUAUCUGCAUUUCAGCUCCAAAUCUCGUCACAUUACAUCUCUAUAUCAGCAUGAUUUAGGCACAUGCUUAUCCAUAAAGGCCGUUGAAAGCGUUAACCAUUACCCUCUUCGCUAUAAGCAGCAGUCAUUAGUAUCUUGCCUUCUUUUUUCCACCGAGAAGCAGUAUAUUGCCUUUGAAUAUAUACAUAAGGUGUAUACUGCCCCUCUUGCUUCAGAACAAGAGCAGGCAUAGCACCACAAACACGAAGAGGAAGAACCAGAUGUGGUGCAGGGACCUCUCCACCUCCAUCUGCUGCCUUCUCAGUCGGGGGCCCAUGUUAUGAGCCGCGAUAUAGUAAGGGCUUGUGUAGUACAUGCUCGGAGGGAGCUGGCCACGGAAUGCCGAUGGAAGCACUGCUUCGGCCAUGCCUCCAAGCACCCCUCCAGCUGUCGAGUGGAUCAAACCACGUCCCAAUGGUGAAGGAGGAUGGAUGAAGUCGAAUUCAGUGGCACCGGAAUGGUGGUGGGCAUGCCGCAAUGGCCGCAGCAGAGGUCUGGGCUCCAUGUUCUGAUGGUGGCGGUCAUCAAUGUUGCUUUGUGUGUGGUGGUGCUCAGCAUUUUCCCGGUGCACCAUUGGCCGGCGUGGAAUGGCCAUACCAUCCAGUGAUUUCUUAGAGCUACCACCGCGGCCAUAUAGUGGCACAAGGCUGUCAGCAGAUAGUGUGGCCUUGCACACAGGGCACUGCUGCCUUGCGGAACUUCGGUUGUUACUGGAAGCUGAUUCCGCAGCUGGUUGCAGCCACUCGUAGAUGCAAGGCCAGCAGUAGAGAUGGCCACAGAGGGUAACAACUGGAUCUGCGGCGAAGUCAAGGCAGAUGUUGCAGUCAAAGGAGCCACUUCCAGCGGCUGCAGGCAUCUCCCCACUAAUGUUCUUCAUUGGCUUAUCGUCAGACACUGAAGGUUGGCUAUUGAUGGCAGCCAUGCAAACCUGAUCCAUUCUCCCAGCUUCCAUGGCAAUCAGGAUGCUAUCUGUUCCGGUUGAACAACUCACAGUACUGCAAUCCAAGAAGGAGAAGUCAGUAGCCAGUAGGAAUACGCAUAACUGGAAACGAUAAAGUUGAAAAGUUAAGCUAAUCAUGAAGCGGCCAAGGCUUUUAAAAUGUUCGUAAGGUGUGAACACCUAUCUGUGUGCAUUUAAGGACUAAAAAGCGAUACGAAACAAGAACUGGAAGGAACAUGGCAAGCAACACGGCUCCAUACAUCUUCAUCUAAACAAGAGCGGGUCCAGGUAACUGGCAGCAUUGAGGCCCACACCACAUCAUCCUGUCCUGAGAAGUCUAUUCACUUGCAUUAACAGGUGUGAUAAGUAGAGCAAAUGUUAUGUAAAGCAUCAAUUCCAUGUCAAUGUGCCAGACAAAAUCUUAGCACUGCACAUGGUUCUUUUUGCCAGCAAGAGACACAUUGUGGAAGAAUCCUAUCUUUUCUUAACUCACUGAGUCAGCAGCCAUGGGUUCUCUAAUUUUUAACUACAAUGGACUGCAGCUGCUGCACUCUUGUAUUAACCCUUAUUCUUAGCACCAAGCUACUAUGGUAAUUGGGUGUACUGACAGGUUAUCCAAUCAUACAUAUCUAUCGGGAUACUCGUAAAAGUUGAAUCACCAAACAAAUCAAACCACUAGAAUAUGUCCACAGCAUAACACCGCAAUACUUGACUGACCCAUGUUGAAGGCAAGCGCCAUGAUUGGGCCACUUGCCUUGGGAAGAAAAGGCAUGUGAGACAGUUUGCAUUCUAUAAUAGGCAGCUGUGAUUUGCGUAGUGGACUUACAACUUUGGCACGCCCUUACUAGAUUAACACUGAUCCUUGCUAAUUCAAUAUUCAGGUAAGUAGCCAUGGAAGGCCAACAAGGCAGAUUUGACUAAACCAAGAAGUAGUUGCAGAGGCUAAGACGCCCUGACCUAAUCUCCAACAUAAGCUUCCAUGACAAGUCUUAUCUUUUUCUGUGGUUGUGGAGUUCCUUUCACCAUCAAAUUAUUGAAAAACAACAAUGGGUGGGGAUAGUGAUGUGGAACGCAACAAUGAUGGAUUAGCUGAAGGACUUGGCAUAUUCGAUGGGGCCAAAUACACGAAAAGGAUCAUCAUUUAACAUAUCUAGGUGAUCGCAAAAAGAAUAAUAACCUAAAGAUAAUAGCACCUACUGUAUUAAGAUCGGGGAACAAUGAAUUAAUUGCCCAACUGCUUCGUGGAAAUAUCUUGAGUAGUAACUAAUACGUCCCCAUGUGUACAAGAAUUAAUAAAUUUUACAAGUGGACUUCAGUAAAUAAUUUCUAAAUUGAGAAAAUCAUCCUUAAUUACACCACGUCCCGCACGUGAAACCAAAAGGAGAUCAAUUUUCAGGCUAAUAGGAGCUGUCCCAGGGAUGCGACUAACCAACAACUGAUUUGAUCCUUCAGAAAGAAGACAAGUAAUCCAGGCACACAGAUCUGCUAUUUAUGAUUGCACUAUCUAGUAUCUAUCACUGCAAUUAUGCACGGCGUGAAUUUUCACGGCUGUAUAACGUAAACAUACUCCGAUAAAGAACGAUUCCCCUUGGGAGUAAGAACAUAUAAUACAAUUUGACAGCUCAAUGAGCAAUGGGCAUUUUACUGGACAUACCCACAGGUCACAAGAAUCACCCCCCACCCCAACCCCCUCCCUUCUAGCAAUUUAAAAGAUUCUACUCCGUACAACCGACUAUAACCCCAAUUGGAGAAUAAAAUAAAGUUUAUAACCACAAAUAUCUUCCGUAGACCAAGGAGCACAACAUGGAGCCGCAAAUAUAAUGUCCCUCAGAAUCGAAGAUGGGAAUAACGAGUUUAGCACUGCAGAUUUCCUAAGCAGGGGAAUGGGGUCGGACUGCGCCCCUAAACUCAUAAAGGAAUUGAACAAAAUGCCUCCUUUCCUACAGAAAACGGCAUUAGCGCGCGAUAGAAAAGCGAGGAGCACCAACAGAGCUACCGGCGAUCAUCUCCUGUUCACGGAAAAGCCCCUUUAGCAGCUGGUGCCAAGGGCAGCAGCAGUAGCAGCAGCAAGGCAAAACACAAAAGCUGCGGAGCUAAACCAACCUAAUGGCGACACCCAAGAGCCCUUCAAGGGGGAAAAAAAAAGAGGUGCUAGAAUCGAACAGAGAAACGCAAUCUACACACGAACAAAAACAGGACGGAAAAAAAGAGGAGGUUUAUUCGGCCGACCUUGGAAGAAAUCCAAUCCGUGCGCGCGGCGACUGUUGCCGGCUCCUGGUGUCCAAGAAUCGGGAGAGGGGAUCAAGAAAGGAGGCGAGAAUCGGGAGAUUGCGGGUGCUGUGUCGCUGCGAGGAGGAAGGAGAAGGAGGGGGAUGAGAUUAGGCGUCGACGUCACCUGCGGAAGAGGGCGAGAGAGAGAUAUAUAGAAACAGACCCCGAGGUUGGCCGUCCGAUCCAGGUCGGACGGCUGUGAUCGGGAACGGUAGGCGCCGUCGGUUGCCUCCAUCGGACGGUGGCGACGAUUUCCCACGUUACUCUCGGUGCGGAAGCUUCCUGUUGAUUUUUUUAACGCGGGAUAAGAGGCGAGGACGGCGGUUUCGGUGCGAGCAACUGGAAAAAGGAUACUGUUUCGGGAUUCCCUGUGCAAUUUCAUUAAGCUGGAGACCCUCGUGGUCUUCUGGAUAAACUGAAGCGAGCCAUAAACUGGUUGAAUCGGUCUCUGACUUCUCUGAUGCCCCAGAUUCAACGAGGUUAACGUUACUGCCUGUGAUUGAGCCAGGUUGGACUCAAUGCUAGCGAGGUCCGUCUAGAAAGAUGCUAUCUGCAUCUGACGAUUUAUUUGAUGGCGAAUUUAGAAUUUUGCUGGUGGGUCGCUGCUCACCUUGGCGCUCCCUAUCCUGCGCCCCUGAAUUCCACCACGGAUCUGGCUGUCUUUACUUUAGCACACAGGAAUUAAUCAUGUAGGGGAUGCGACGAAGAACCAAACGCAUGCGCGAACCGAUUAGCUCGGCAUUGUCUGGUAAAUUCCAGGUGGAAGAUACUCCAACGCUUGUGCAUGGUUAACUGCCAACUGUAAUAAACGCAUUGCGACCUAUUAAUAAAAGUGAAAGCUCCACCAUAAGAAUUCACUAGGUAACAAAAACAGCAUGUCCCAACAACAGAAAGCAUCGGACAGAUCGAGACGAGAGGAAAUCCCGAGGUCUGGCCUGAUGAACAGAGAAAGAGUAACGAGGUGGAGUUAACUCAAAGAUAAAGCGUUCUGAUUGGUGUUGCUCCUACGACUAGGACACUGCAUUGACACCAUUUGGCAAAAACAAUUUUAUUUUCUUUGCUUAUGUGGCUCAUUUUUUUUUCCCAGAAAAAGGUUCUAUGAGCUCAUUUUCACUAGAAUUUGGCCAAACCUCAGACAACCAAUUCAGCUGCCGGAUUCCGGUAACAUCAAAGUUUUGCCCUGGAUUUUAUGUGCUUCAUCUAGACACUGGGUAAACAGGACCGAGCUCUUGGUCCGUUCUGUUCGGAUCAAGAUAAGGCCUAGCCGUAAACCCGUACGUCCGCCUUUGUUUAGAGAUCUGACGAGUGACAUAGCCAGGACCCACCCAUCGCGUGGCUGGCCGUUCGCAAUCACCACUGCUCUGCACACGCAAGCAUCCAUUAUCUUGAGCCGAGAUUUUAUAUGCGGACAAGAAUAUAUUUUCGAAAGGUUAUGUUCGGGCGCUGUCAACGCAUAGACACCACCGUGAUGAUUACCCACCCGGCAAUCACGAAUCAUGUUCGUUUAUUUGUUAAACUCUCGCGCAAGAGCGUAAUUUUCUAGCCUUAUCGUGUACGCCCUUUGUGGGGAUGGAUGGCUACCAUGGGCCAUGGCAUUGUUGGUUUUGGCAUAGGCAGGCAGACUAGUCAUAUCUGUUUGCCCCACUGAGAAGAUAAGCUCGGAGUCGCAAGUGAUGUCACGGGAGUUCAAGCGCGCGAUGGAACAAGCCAUGUGCCGUUUUCUAACUUUAUCGUGUCAGUACAGUCACAGAAAUAUCCACAAGGUUUAAGCCCUGUAGUCUGUAGAGAGUUGAAAGAUGCGAUCGCACGUACACGGGCAGGUGAGUAUGAUUGAUAGGGUCAGCCAGUCCAGUAGUGAAUUUUCCUGUGUGCAUGACCGGCCAACGACCUCCGGCUUUGCGAAAGAUGCCGGCCGCUGAACGGACGGAAAGGGAAAGCCCAGCCGCCGAGAUGCCGUCCGGGAUCCCGGGUCGGGGUGGCCGGCCACCUCCUCCCCACCGUUCAGCUCUCUGCACGAGCACGACGGCUGCAACACUCACUUACUCAAGUCAUUGGCGCGACAAAGGUUAGUAGUACUGCUCCAGGUCCAAUGACGUUGAAGGGGAGAGGGAGUACAACGUUGCCAAUUGCCAGGUCCAAUGACGUGCCGCGUGCCGCGAUUACGGCAUCCGGCAACAGCAACGGUGCGGAGAUGCGCACGUUUCCCGAGAGGCCGCACGUUCGCCGGCUCCAGCCUUGCGGCAUUCUCUUCGGCCGGCCGGGGCCGGGGAACCAAGUGGUCGUUGGGUUGGCUUCCCCGGGUCACUUGUUUAAUCCCGGAGUGGACGUGGCCGCUGGCCAGUUUAUUCGGCGCAAUCCCGUCCCGCGUCGAGACAGGUGAGAGACGAUAAGGCACGGGCCGGAGCGGUUGUUGGUGCGUGUAUAUGUUUGGCUCCCCGUCCGUCCACGGCGUAGGUCGUAGGAUAUUGCAGGGCGCGUCCCGUGUGCUCAUUCGCACGCGUAAUCAUUGGGCCUAAUCUGUUGUUAGCCGGUGGGUGGGUGCGGGGAGCGCCGAGGGCGAUCAAGGGACACCGGACCGGGUGGUGGAGUCAAGGCAUGUGAUUUGGUCUACUACUCGAAAGACUGAAUCAAGAGAUCGUUUAAGAAUAAGAAAAUCGAUAUCGGCCAAUGGCGCGGCGUGACGCGUCGAGCCGGUGCACGUUUAACACCCGCGGUAGCAGCAGCCGGAGCCUGGAGCCCGAAGCGGGGUUUGUUUUAGCGGAUCGGAUCCAUGUACUGUAAUCACUGUAUUAAUGCUGUGUGUGCCAGUACAACAACCAGGAGGAUUACGGGACCGACCGGCCGGAGCGGGGUUAUUGUCCGCUGCAUGGAAUCCGACGGAUGCGUGCGCCCACCAACAAAAGGGGUGGUCGAUCGAAUCGGGCAAGGUACAGGCCGCCCGCUGUUUAACAUCAAGAGACCGUGGAUUGCCCGUUUUGUUUUCGCCGCUGUUUACUGCAGCCUGACGGGCGCCCACGAUUGAUCUGAUCUACCGGUUCUCGUGGUCCUCUCGCUCAUUCGGAUCUCAGCAAGACGUUUAGCGAACCAGAGGCAAAGUUUUGUUCACUCGUGAAUGGGACGUAAUUACGAGGUAGGGGGUCAUAUACCUUGGUUUGGAAAACCACGGAGGCGGCGAAGUCAUCGAGUCUAGGUCAAGCACUCCAAUCCGAGAAAAUAGCCGGUAGAAGUGACGGUGAAAACUUCUUAAAAAUUACGUAUAACAGCCCUUUGGGUCAUAAUACAAAUGAAAUUGCUAUGGAAUACGUUACUUUGGCUCCUAUUCUACAGAAUCUCUAAUGUGCGUUCAAUCUUAUUAUUUUUCUCGUAAUCCCGGCACAGACACUGCAACAAUUCACAUGACAUGACCGGUACUCGAACCUUUUAAAGUUUGACCAGGUUUAUACAAAAAUCACCCACCAUCUAUGACUCUAAAUUAGCAAUGCCAAAUGUAUACUAUGAAGACAUAUAACAUGAUGGAUUUUAAUAAAACUAAUUUAGAGGCUUAGAUUUCGGUUCAUUUUCUUAUAAACUCAGACAAAUCUAGAACAUUUUAUAAAAACGAACAGGAGGAAUGGUAUAUUUCAUCUGAAUCCGAUUAGUGCAUCUGCAUCUCACCCACAGCCAUCUAAAAGAUGAGAGGAUCAAAUGAGUGGGGAAUUAUGCUCACAAAACAGUUCAAGAUACUCAAGCACGAACUGAGGUUAUGUGGUAAAGGAUCACAUAUGAGUGUAUAGAAUAUGACUAUUAACAGUCCUGUCAUAUAUAUCUACAGCCCAAAAGAAUGAAAAGAUGGAAUCAGGCUUCCUUGGUAAUUUCAUCACAAGACUUCCUCAUUCAUUUAUUGAUGAUACACAGAAGGUUAAUUUCCAAUAUUAUCUACACGUGGGUAUAGAAAGAUUGUGCAGAUGACGUCAAGUUUUCGAUGAUCUGACCAUAGGACGUGGAAUGCUAAGUAAACCGUGUCCAGGAGGUCUCUUCUGCAUUUUACCUCUCAGCAAAUUUCUCGAUGCAUGAGAUCAGCGUACUUUCAGGCACUGCUCCGAUCACCGAAUCUUUUUUCUCACCAUUCUUGAAUAUCAUCAUGGUUGGUAUGCUCCGGACGCCAUACUGACUUGCUAUGUCUGGAUUCUCAUCGGUGUUGAGCUUGUAGCAUUUCAACUUCCCUUCAUAUUCCUUUGAGAGCUUGCCAACAACUGGAUCAAUAAUUUUGCAUGGUCCACACCAUGAAGCCCAGAACUCAACAAGGACAGGAAGCUCACUCUCCAUAACAAGCGAUUGCCAUGUCCCUUUCGUGACAUCAGGAACUACAAAACAAGUGGACAGUAUCAUAAUGAACAAUUGUGAACACACCAGUUGAUAAAAAUACAGAAAUAAAGCCGAAAAAAUAACUAGCAUAGACUAGCAAAAGUAAAUCAUUAUUUUGCCAUGCCUAUGACACAUAUAAUGAUGAUGGAGAAAUAAACAUGAGGCAAACUCUAGUUAUCGAAAAGAAACAUUACUGGUACUGUUUGUAUGCCAUUGCGCCCUGUACAAACAUCCUACAAUCCUAUAGAAGCCUAAGUUAGUUGAUCUGAAAGAGAUAUGGAGGUGUGGAGCAGGAGGAUGGUCAAGUCUGAUAAGUUGGCAGAUUCAAACACUAACCCAAGUCCAAAAUCGGCAUGAGGUCUCCACAUUAUUUUCAAAAAUGGUUUCUGCAAACCAUUGAGAAUCCAUCAGAUUUCCCUAUUCAUUUUUUGAACUAGCAUAAAACUCUAAUUGGUAAAUAUACUUGUCGUACUAGGCUUAAACGGUUUCUCCCCAACCCGAUUUUGAACACCCCUACUACAUAUCAACCAUGAAGGUUCAAAGUUCAAACCACUGGAAGUGUACAGCCAGUCUGUAAAUUAGGUCAGGCAGAUCCCAUCCAGACAGAGAAAUCUGUUCAUAAAAGAUCUGUAAACCUCUUUUGCUGGCACAGAAAUAUCUUCCAAUUCAGAACGCAUAUAGCAUUUCCGUAUCAGAUAUUGAAACAGGGUCACUAGUUUUUCAUGAUUAACAGCUUCGUGAAUGUAGCGCAAAUACGUGUUGCUUUUUCUAAUUGGCUUUAAGGUGCUUCGCAUAAGAUAGCAGAGGUUUUGAAUUUCUACCAACACACAUCCGCACAGAACUACAAAUCAGAACACUGUAAUAAUGCCUUGAGUACAACAGGAGCCCAACUGUUCACUGUAAAUGCUUUACCACUGCAGUCAACGGUUCGUUCUAAUAUUGCCCUAGCACAUUGCCUGCUUAAGGUGAAUAAUUUGUACUUGAUUGUUUAUGUAAAUGAAUUAAAAUAUCAUGGUUUUCGCAAAAAAAAGAAUUAAAAUAUCAUGGGUGUAAGCCAUUAAUUUCAGCCUUUCAGGAGCUUCCAGCAGCAGGAGUUUUAACAUAAAAAAACAGGUAAAUGCACCAUUGCACCUAUCAAUCCAUCAUAGGCAUUUGCUUCUCAAUUAACUUAUGAUCCUAAACAAAUCAAAACAUAUAUGUGGAGCAACCCAAGAUUAGCUGCUUUAUGUGUCAGGGAAGAACACAUAAUUAUGCUAAAGGGGGUGACAUGGAUGAUGUGGUCCAGAAAGGAAGUAAUGUAUCACUGCCAUAGCAAAAUGGCCAGGAGGCAAAGAUGCAGACAUCUAUACAUUCAAAUAUUCAACUACCAUUGAACGAUCUAAAAUCGACAAUAAAUCAACUGUACCAGUCAUGUGAUUCUAUAUUUAGAUUCAGUUACCCUCAUUAAAACAGAUGUGGCAAUAUUAAUAACUGAUAUAGCCAAAUUUACCUGCAAUAUACAAGCAUUACGUUACAAGUGAGUUCGACGCACUAAUAGGAAACUAGUUGUUCAACGUUGGCCUAUUAGCAGUCCUAUUACAGAAGCCAGAUAGUUAAAUGCUCGAGUUAGUGUGCAGCAACAUAACAGUCAAGCUUGUGUGAAAGCUUCCGAGGAAAUAAAAUUGCAAACUCUGCAUUUAAAGAGGCAGAUGCAUGCCAGAAAGAAGGCGCCGAAGCAUCAACGUCAAAUGUUGCUCGUUCUGUCAUUCAGAGUUGCUAAAAUGGUAAAAUCCAUAACCUCGCGUCCACAACUCUAUGCCCUUAAAAACUCGACAUUUGCCACGAUGGAGGACCCAAACUGAUUCCCCGAAGCAAAACAAGUUAAGCUUUCAAUCCCAAUUCCAGACACAGAACUCGAAAACUUAGAAUAGAUCCACACAGAUGCAUUGAUCGGAUAAGUAUUUAAUCACCGAAUCUCACAACAGAAUACAGAUCAAUACGUGCGACUUGACGAGCUGGCGUCGUGCAUACCUUGGAUGGAGGUGUCCUGGCCCUGGACCGCGCACACGACCGACGCGCCACGGCCAACGCCCCGGCGGUUCCCGGCGAGGUCGGUGACAGCGCGGAGGGCCGGGGAUCGCGGGGCGCGGGUGGACGGGAGCGCGUGGAAGCGCCGCGCGCGCAAGCUGGCAACGAGGGGAGAGCAGGUCGCGGGGACGGCGAUGGCGAGGGCGGAGGCCAUGGGCGAUGCGGACGGGAUGACCGGAUGAGAGUUCCAGAAGCGGAGAAGAGCGUGUUUGUUGUGAUGCGCGAGGAGGACGGGGGGAUGGAUGGGGAACUUGGAAAGGGAAGCUGGGGGCAGUUCUUCCGGUGGGCGUCAUGUGGUGGCCGCGCGCGCUUCGGCUGGGCCAGGCUGGUGGCUCGGUUGUUGCAAACGGGCAAAUGACUCUUCCUUUCAGAGGUUAAAAACGCCUGAUGACCUGAAGUGCGAGCGAGGAGCAGAGUGUCACCUUUUGCAUUGUGCAUUGCGGUUGAAUGACAAAGGAUCAGUUCAUCAGUUAACAAUGUUACUCUAGAAAAAAGGUCCUUCUCAUUCCCAAUCACGAAUAAUGAUACAAUAGAGUUUGCAACAGUGUUACAUUCAUCGCUUGCAUUUCUUUUACUGCAAUACCUGCAUCUAAUGAAUCUUUACAGCAUGUGAAUCUGAAUGUUCCAGAUGCAGCAGCUAUAAAUAUGACACAAGAUGUAGUUCCUUCUUCCUCAUGCUUCCAUGAAAAAUUCGUGCUCUUCAUCCCCCACCAUCAGAAGAUGGGAUCCCAGGAGCAGCACCCUUCUGCCUUCAGUGUUGGCUGAGCUCAUAAGCUUGCAAGGAUCUACCGUGAUCUCCACGUUGGUUGCUUUGCCGGCGGCUGCAUAGAGGCGCUCGAAACCAACCAACUGUUUCAAAGGAAAGCCUGGAACGCUUGACUUCGAUCUCGUGAAUAGGAGAACAGCGUGGCUCCCAUCCAUGGCGCCGUCGUUGGCAACAGAGAUGUGGACAGAGAAUUUUAUGGAUUCACAUGAUGCAAUGUCUUCGACUUGCACGUAGUCUAGCCCAUCCCUCCGUGUGUGUGCACGCUUCGUGCUGAUAAAGUCUACAGCUGACGAACGUGACAAACUAAUUUUCGUUGGAGCCUGUAUGAUGUUGUAUGAGUAUUUUGAGUAACUCAGACCAUACCCAAAGCCAUAUACCACAUCUCCGGUGUAAAACCGAUAUGUUCUCCCAGGGUAACUGCGUGAAGGGUCGGCUCUCAUGUUCAUAUCGUUCAUUGGAACAGCGGUGAAGGAUUCAGGGUACCAGGUAAUAGGCAAUUUUCCUCCUGUCAUCACAGUGAAUCUGAUUAGUCAACAUACAAGUUUCUCAUUCGACUGCAUACAACUGUAAAUAGUUUACUGACCUGGAUUGUACUCUCCAAAGAGAAUUUCUGGGAGAACUUGUCCGCCAACUUCCCCUGGAUAUCCAAUCCACAAUACACUUGCAAUUCUUUUAUCUUGCUUCGCAAAAGAAACAUCAACAGGACCACCACCCGUGAUAACCAACACAAGGGGCUUCUUGGUUACACUAGCAAUGCUAUUUAUGAGGUCCAUUUGCUUGCCGGGAAGGAGAAGGCUCACUCUAUCAAGAUCUUCAGUCUCCUGAGUCAGGUUCAACCCAGCAAUCAGAACAACAAUAUCAGCUCUUUUAGCUACUUCAAUGGCUUCGCCAAAUCCAUCUGUUGAGUUACAAGAUAUAUCCUUACAUCCAGCAGCAAUGGUUGUUUGUGGAACAACGGCUUGCAUGCCUUUAAGAAAGGUGGUAGGGUUACAGGGAACUCCUGAACAAAGCAAAACUAACAUUAGUUUAUGUACUGUAGGAUAGUAAAAUAAGGGGCGUUUAAAGUUUAAACAAGGCCAGUGAUUUAGACCUGUGUAAUCUCCACCCAUUAUAUAUGCGUCAUUUGCUACUGGUCCGAUGAUAGCAAUAUGACUAACUUCGCUUCUCUUCAGAGGCAAAAAACUGUUAUCAUUCUUCAACAAGACAGUACCCUGCCUUGCAGCUUCUGCUGCAAGCUCCCUGUGCUCUUUCGUGCAAAUAUUGCUUGGCCCUAGUUGAGUGAACCACUGAUUCCCACUAGUCUUAUCAAAAAGUCCAAGACGUAGCUGAACAGAAAACAGAUUAAAAAGAGCAUGGUUGAUAUCUUCUUCUGUUAUCUUUCCUUUCUGAAUUGCUGACUUUGUAUGCCGAAUCAGGAAGGACCCACAGUUGAUAUCCAUUCCUUGAAAAAGAAGGAAUCAUAUUCAGCGAGACAUUCUGCUUGGUUGAAGGCUACACAGAAGGUGUUAAAAAAAAAUCUAUUUCAACAAGAUGUUGAGACUUAUUCAUGCUAAUUCUGGCAAGGUGUCACACUGGAAGCAUAAAUUAGAAUUAGUUGAACUUGCACAUGCUGGCACCAGGUAAAUUAGUUGAACUUGAAAACUAUUUUAUGUCUCUAAUCUCCUAAUAUUUGUUUAUAUAAUGUAUAUUGAGCAGAGAAUUCCUUUGAGAAGACAAGGCCAUAGUCUAGAAAGAAAGCAACAUUGUUAACAAAAGCACAUAUGCGAUGCUCGCCACGAGAGAGUUUCAGUCCACUAACCGGCUUUCAGAACAAUCGCUAUUGAAUCUUCAUCUGAAUUUGUGUAAUUCUGGUAUCCGUAAAUUAUUCCCACGGCAUCACAAUCAGAUACGACGUACCUUCAGACAAUAAAAUGAACACUGAUAUUAUGACAUUACUGUCAUUCCCAACAUAUCUAAUAUUUCAAGGCUCAUACAAUAGAGAACAAUUCAAAGGAGAGGAAGCAAUACCCUUGAAAUCCCCAUUCAUCCCUAACCUUCUGCAGUAGAUCUUUGCGGGCACAUGCUGGCACACCAUUUACCUGGUUGUAUGAACACAUCAAGCAACUUGCACGACCCUCCUGGAUACAGCUCUUGAAAGGAGGCUCAUACGUGUCCUCGAAAUCUUGCUCAUUGACCUGCCAAUAGUGGAUUUGCUCUUACCAUUCGCAUUAGAAGUUCAAAACAAUUAUUCAACAGAUUUCAUUAGUACUUCAUAUUAUUCUUUGAUUGAAUAUAUUGAUAAAAUUACAAUAUUAAUGGUCACUUGAAGCAAUAAUACAACAAUCAAAUAUUUCUCAGUCACUGAUACAAUCUCUGGGGCUAAGCAUGUAGUAAGUGAAACUGUAGGUAGUACUCCUAUUUGUUUCUCUGCACAUCAAGUCAUGGACUGGUAAAGUAGUGUGCUAAUGUUAUGUCCAAUUGUCUAGUAGUCCCUAAAUGUUACUGGAAGUUAUUUCUCGGCCAACAUCCAUAGCCGUCCGGUGAAGAUAUUUCCAUUUCUUUGUACAUACACAAUUCUCAAUAUUUCCAUUUCUUUGUACAUACACAAUUCUCAAUGAUCAGAUUGAAUGGUUUUUAGCGUCGACUUAGAAAUAGUUAUCCCCGGUUACCCCAAAAAUAGCAAAACCGUUUGAAAAAGUCAGCUGCCCAAUGACGGGCUAUUAGUUACGUUCUGCAUAAUUAAUGAAGUUGACAGCGCUGUCAAAAUAAUAGUGAAGUUGACAGCAAACAAGGCCAAUAAGCUGAAUACUCUGCGAAAACCAAAAUGAGCUUCACUAUAACAGAAGACCAACACAUUCAUAUGAGCAAACACUUCACCUUGGCAUUAAAGGUGUACCGCGUGAAGUUCCCCCAUUUCUCCAGAUCAUACGCGACGUAGUGCUUGCAGCAGGCGGAGAGCAUCAUCCUGCCUUCCUUGCCAUCGCCGUACUCUCCCUGAAACCCUUUCACAUACUCGACGGAGUAGGCGGCGAUGACGGCGGGGUCCUCACCGGGCGUCUCCUGUCCGCGGCCCCACCGAGGGUCGCGGAACACGUUGAUGUUGGGCGCCCAGUACGUGAGGCCGGCUUGGCCGGCGUUGUGCAUGGCGCGCGCCUCCACCGCGACGGCCUCCGCCACCGCACGCCACAGCGAGCGGUUGAACGAGGCGGCGGAGAGGAUGACCUGGGGGAAGAUGGUCGCGGCGCCGACGGGGCCCGAGGAGAAGUUGACCCCCGGGCCGUUGUCGGCGAGGCCGUGGAGGGACUCGGACCACCACUCGUAGGGCGGGAUGCCGAGGCGCGGGACGCCCGCUGCUGUGUUGGAGAGCUGCGCUAUCUUCUCGUCGAGGGUGAGGAGGGAGACGAGCGCGCGCGCGCGGACAGGGAACGGGAGGGAGGCGUCGCAGAAAGGAUACGAGUUGGCCGCAGCCGACGCGCACGCGUGCGCAUUCGACGGUGCGGCGGCGCCAGCGCCGGCGCGGGCGACGAGGAGGACCAGGAGGAGGAGCAACGGGGGAUACAUGUCGUGCUUCGGGGCAGAGGACUUGUGUCGAGCACUUGCCUUGCUUAAAUCUCCACGCCAGUUCACCUCUACACUCCAUCGCAUACGGUUGUCCGGUGCCUCGGCGCCUCGGCCUGGGAAGCUGGGAUGUGUUGCCGAGGCUGCUGAGCGGGACCGACUGGGCCUGAGAGGGUAAGCUAGAUAGUGUCUCGGGGGACUCGUGUUUGGUGCGAGAUGCCUGACGCAGCUCAGUUUUCUUUGACAUCGAUGACUAGGACCCGAUAACAAGACCCAAUCGCGUGCGAGAUCGGUCCUCAUGUCGCUGCGGAUAAGUCAUAUUUUUUGCUUACUCUGUUUUGAUAUGGUUGCCGAGAUGCUUGAUGUCUGCGUCUUCCUUGCUAAAGGCCAAGUAAUGACAGUUCUGACAUGUUGCGUUGGGCUAAUGGAUAGUAAUUGCGAAAGUUGGAGUUCAGAAUUCCCUCUCCUGUUCAGUGUUCACCUUUGCGACCCUGCGUUCUUUUCUUCGAACCUCAAAAGAAGGAGACCGCAUGAGCUUUGGAUACAUGUAAAUUUUGCUUACCUUUAAUGCACUGAACAGAUAGAUAUGUUCAAGUCAUCAAAAUCCAAUCAAGACAAGAUUUCAAUUUUUUCACUAGUCUCAUUAAUAUUUUUUUCACUAGUCUCGUUAAUAUUUUCUUGAAUUUUAGAUGUUCAGGGAGGAGAAAACUCCCCGGCUCCGAUGCAUAUAGCAAGAAACCAAGCAUAGUACCAAGUGUUCUAACUUCUAAGAUUAUAUUUGUUUGGGAUGCAAUUGUAGCUCAUAGAAUGAGCCGCGGCUCGAAAGUUAGAUUGUCUGAUGUCUGUUUGUUUCGACGGUUGGUGCAACUGUAUGAACAUAUCAUAACAUAGAAUACUACUAAUAUAUUUAUAAACACAUCUGGUUGCAAAAUAUGAGGUCAUCAUGACAACACAUAAGCUGCACCUAAUAGGAUCCUACUCUCUUGCGGCCAUCAGAGCAUUUGCAAUGUUAAUACGGGUUGCGUCCAUUGUGCCAUUGCCACUUUCCGAAUAUCUUCCAUGUAGUCCUCGUCAGUAUAUGAAUCACUCUCUCGGAUGAAGUUCCGCAAGACCAUACAAGUAACGAUAAUCCUUGCUUGCUUGAGGGUAGUAGGCACAACCUUCAACAUGAACCAUUUUUUGCUUCAAGACAAAACACAUCGUUCUAUGACAUUUUCUGAGUGAUGAAUGUGUAGCUCAAUAUUUUUUCCUAGCAUUUGCAACGGCGCCAUGUCGAAACUCUACUAGAUGAUAUGUUACAUAUUUCUCUCUACAUGCAAACAUGUCACAUCACUAGACCCACUAUGCACAUUGUCGUGCAAACAAUGUCACCUCAUCAAGUCAUGCAUAUUUUUUUUUAAAGCCAUGCAUAUAUUCAUUUACCUUUUUCAUGCCAGCUCAUCAAUUCAUACACAUCAUUUUUUCACAUGCUUCUUAGAGUUUAUAGUUUCUAAAUGUAAAACAAAACAUUUUUUUUUUACCAUUUUUCCAUUAGUGUAAAAUUAAUUUUAAGCAUCUAUUUAUACAUUUGUCUUAACACGGUUCAGCAAUGUGCGGUGCAUCAUCUAGUAUUUAGAAACGGAGGAGUAUUUCGAAAGAAGUUUUUUUUUAGCAAAAGUAAUAAAAGGAAUUUGUUCGAGGCAUACAAGCCUGGCCCAAUUGUGAGGCCUCGUCACGAUCAGUACCACAUCCAAUCAGACGGUCCAGAGAAACAUCUUUGGGCUGGACUGGACCAGAUUGAAUUCGGAUCAAAAUUAACACCGCUUUCUUGUCCCUACCAACCCCUCGCCAAGAUUUUCCCCUUCCAAUACCUCACCGGGGCGAUCACACGGACGGGUGACAAGCCGGGUGGUUCUCCCAUUCCUGGAACCAUCCAAUCGGCACGGCCGGCGUACGCGUAAACUAGGCUUUCGCACGCGCGAAACCGGCGGAAUUGCGGAAAGAAUCCACCGGCAUCCAUCAUUGGCGUUGGUGCACGGCACGGCACGCCAGCGGUGCAUUGACUUAAGAGACCUUGGCUUGCUUAGCCCUACCAUGCUACCUCCAUGUGAUGUGGUUGAGGCGGGAGGAAGACGCAUGCGAGUUGCUCCAUCUUCAACCCCUGUCCUUAUACUUAUAGCAGCUCCAUUUGAUUGGAUCUAGCGAUCUCGUCGUCUAGUCUUGUCGAUCGAGCGAGCGGUACAGGAAUUCGGGAUCGCUCAGAUCAGGCCGGGGGGUGGAAGAUAUGGCGCAGGGGACGCUGGAGGUGCUGCUCGUCGGAGCCAAGGGCCUCGAGAACACCGACUUCCUCAGUACGUACCUUCGCCUUUCCCGUUCGAAUUCUGCUUUGAUUUUCCGUUACCUGGUCGAUCAGGCCGGUGCUGACCUCUUGAUCGGCCAAACUGCUCUGUGUUUUCGCUGUUGCGGCUGUUGAAAGAUGUUGUCAAUUCUCGAUUCCUUGUUGACGAGUACCGUACGUGGUUGCGAAUUAUUCCUGCAGGCAACAUGGAUCCUUACGCGGUUCUGAUAUGCACCUCGCAGGAGCAGAAGAGCACCGUUGCGUCAGGUAAACAUGUUCGUUUAGCUUGCAUUCAGAUAUGUACCCCCGGUGAUCUCUCUCAAGAAAAAGAUUCAGCUAUACAUAUCCGUUGCAGCGUUCUGCUCAUUCACGCCUUACUUGCUCAACGUUUUAGUUCAUUAGUACUUAAAUCCGUGCCAAUUAAUAUGGAACGGAGGGAGUAGUGCACAGAACAUGAGUAUAUCAGCUCCUGAACAUCCAACUGUACUUUGAAACUGAAAUACAUGAACCAAAGAACUAGCCUUCCUUUCUAUAACGAAAAGCAGAGUUCAUCAAGACAUGCUUAGCGAGUAACGAGUAAUUAACCUCAUGGAUGGCGCCUCAGUGCUACUCCACGUGUGCCACUGGCUUCCCUAUCAAUUAUAAUUCGGUGCAUGCAGGCAAAGGAAGUGAUCCUGAAUGGAACGAAACCUUUGUGUUCACCGUCUCUGAGAACGCGACCGAGCUCAUCAUCAAGCUCCUGGACAGUGACAAUGGCACAGAAGAUGAUUGUGUUGGUGAAGCAACGUAAGUACAUGUUUGUUAUCCAUGGAUCCAUGUUUAAUGGCUAAAAGUAUAGUGCUUUAUAAGUCGAACUGAAUUUCUUCAUGGCUAAAUGUCGAUUUCUGUCUCUGAAGAUGGGGUUAGCCCAAAAUCUUCCUACGAGUUACCUCGUUGCUGCACUCACUCGAGACGCCCAACCAAAUCUUCUCGCAUAAGCUUCAGUGAUCACAUUGUGAAGAACAUUCACUGUUGGAGGUUGUUUUGUUUUUCCAUGCUGGCACCUGAUGUGCAAUGUUGCUUGUAUCGUCACUUGUCGGUGGGAUUGUUCUCAUUUUAUUUCCGCAUUUACUCUGAACUUUGAAGAACUGGUUGGCGUUUUCUCUAAUGGAAAUUGAGGGGUGAACCAUUCGUUUUUUUAAGGCCACUCUGGAUGUGCACGCUGUUACAAGAGAAACUAGUUCUCUGGUAGGCAGGCACCACGCCGUGACCUGGACCAUUUUCAUUUCGCAUUUGGGUUGAUGUCACGGGAUGCUACCCUGAACAAUACAUCCCGAGUAUUAAUUGCAGAUAAUUAAUGGACCAUUUUCAUUUCGCAUUUGAAUAGCUGCUUCCGUAUAAACUGCAAGUUUCAUUGUCCAUUAAUUACAGCUGAAUAGCUGAAUCUUGCAGGAUCCCUUUGGAAGCAGUGUACACGGAAGGAAGCAUCUCACCAACGGUUUAUAAUGUUGUCAAAGACGAAGAAUACCGCGGAGAAAUCAAAAUUGGUCUGACGUUCACUCCGGAGCCGGAGGUAAUUAUCUCAUGUUAAUGCAUGUUCAAAGAGGAAGAACCCCUUCUGUUCGGGGCCAUAAGCAUUAGUAGCUGUAUAUGCAAGCCUUGUAAUCUUGUCGAUCCUUAUUAGCGAUUAACUUAAUGUCAUAUUAUCAUAAACUGAUAGCAAGUGAUAUAAGAGCUAUCCAGCUAACGGUAAAUAAUCCUCUACCUCAUUUUGCCUGUUCAAAUUCUAGUUUCAGCGGCCACUAAAUUUACUUUGUUUCCUUUCGUGUGUACCUCGGUCCUCUUCUGAUCUAUGUACUAUUUUUUUUUAUAAAAUCUGUUUCUAUUUGCAGGAGUCUGGGGAAUAGAAUUUACCUGAGGAAAACCUGGGACAGUGGAAUCAAUCGUCUUGAGAAGAUCAUGCUUUGAUGAACUGCAAUUGUGUGACUAGUAUGCUAGAACGAAGCCUAUGUUAAAGACAGUACUUCUCACUAAUUUCCUUAAUGGUGGAUGAUUGCAACUCUCCGUAUUAAUAUGUAUCAUUCUUGUACUUCAAUUAUUAAUAAUGGUUUUUUUUGUUUUCUGCCACUUGUAUGCACUGCUCUUUAAAAUGUUUCACAAAACCGAUCUGUAAUUCAUCAUUUUUCAAUGAAAUCCAGCAGUUUCACUUGAUGUCAAAAUAAUUGUGUCUUGGUCAAAUUAUUUCAACAAUUUCUGUAGUGCACAAAAAUUCAAAUAAAUUUGCAAAGUAUAUCAAAUUUUGGUUGAUUUUCAGCCAAUUUUGAGUGAGAAUUUUAGUCAUUUGACCAAAACACUAGGGAAAAGAAUUACCUUGAGUGAUUGAGAAAACAAGUGUAUUAAGUUUUGUUAUGACAAAAGUACUUUUUUCGUCUCUCGUCUUUUCAAACCGGACCGGUCCUAGAGCCGACUCAAAGAGGUUUUCUCGAUGAUGUGUCCUGAUAUUUUAGGGUUAAUUGGAUCUAUGCCACUCUCUAUUUCACCGAUUGAAAAUAUGUCAUUACAAAAACUUGACUUGGAAAAUGCCACUCUAACUUUCUUAUACCUCUAACUAUGCCAUUCUGUCCACUUAAGACCAAUUAUUAUUCAUAAAAUACAUGUAUUUCAGCGUGUAUAACCGUUUACAAUAAUACCCCUAUUUACAUUCCAGGCGCCACAAAAGGUUCAAAACAUUCAAAUUUGGCCGAAAAUUCAAACUUCUCAGAAAAAUCUAUAAAAAUUACAGAAAAUCAUAACUAUUUUAAUGAGCCUACUGUCCAAAGAUGAGCCAUUUAUGGGCACAUAUGAACCCCUAAACUGCUAUUUUAAGUUCAAAACAUUCAAAUUUGACCAAAAUUCGAACUUCUCAGAAAAAUCUGAAAAAAAUAGAGAAAAUAAUAACUACUUUUAGGAGCCUACUGUCAAAAGAUGAGCCAUUUCUGGGCACAUUUGGACCCUUAAAAUGACAUGCAAGAUUCUGUCCAGAAAAUUUGACACCAUUUACCCGAAAUUUCAACAGCAUUUUAGAUCCAUUUAACACAUAUUAAGAAGAACAAUUCAUGCAGAUUCAUAAAGAGGUUCACAAGCACGAUUUAAUAGUCACAGCUUCACAUAUCAAGUACCAAACGAAUUUAAUGGAGGUACAUAGGUUGACAAGAACAAUCGAAUCAGCCGCUAGCCACCAAGCCAAUAAAGUAGGCUUCUUUUUGCACCAUUUGUAGGCUGCAGUUCUGGAGGUGGAGGUGGAGGCAUCACAGGUGCAAAUGGAACAUUCUUCUUGCCUUUCUUCCCUUUAGAUGCAGUCUUCUUCACAGGGGUCUUUUUCUUGGCCUUCUCUUGUGUUGUAGCUUCUCUCACAGGUGUCUUCUUCCUGGCUUUCUCUUGUGAGGCAACUUUCUUCACAGGUUUCUUCUUCCUGGCCUUCUCUUGUGCUGUAGCUUUUUUCACAGGUGUCUUCUACCUGGCCUUGGCCUUCUCUUGUGUUGUAGCUUUCUUCACAGGUGUCUUCUUCUUGGCUGGUGUUUUGGGCUUUUGUGGAGUUGUUCUAGCUUUUUUCCUGCAUUAUCAACACGUGGUUUAGAUUGAGUAAUAACAGAUUUUAAGACAAGUGCAGCAAUUUACCUUAUAAGGUUGAUAAGGACCUCAUCAUCUCCUGCAUCAACAUCUAUAGUAGCAGCUGUUUCAUCAACUUUGUUCCUGCAAUAAGAACAAAAUAAAUCAAUUUUACAAUAUAUAAGUUACAGAAAUAUAGAUCAGGUACAUCAUCUAAUGCCACAUUAUCUAUUGAAUCACCUUUUCUUUGUUGGUGUAGAUGGAUCUGGUACAUCAUCAACUAUAUCAUCAUCUAAUGCCACAUAUUUAGGAUCAGGAACCUUACAUGUCUUCUCCAUGUGCCCAGGUCCACCACAUCUCUUACACUUGACUAUUUUCCUUCCAGGUUCUAGCCAUCCUGUAAUUCUCUGAACUCUUGGCCUACCAGCCACUACUUGCUGCAAAGGAGGAUGCACCUUGAACCCCAAAUCCACAUUUAUCCACUGUGUCGUCUGUCAUGGAAGGGAUUCUCCCAGCAUAUGCUGCCUUGAACUUAUCCACAGAAUAGUAAUCAUCCACAUAUGUCUGAAUCUCAGCACCAUUAAUGCUACAAAUGAAGGCCAAUGCGUGCAUGCAUGGCUUUCCAGAAACUUGCCAAACUCUACAAGUACACGUGCGAUUUUGCAAGUUGACAAUGUGCCUUUUGACAAAUUUCAGAUCCAGUAAUGUAACUUCUGCCUCAUGUUCACUGGUCCAAAGAAUCUUGUUUCGGCCAAUGGUUUUGCUAGGAGCAUUCAGCUGCUUGAUGAUAUGAGGAAGAAUUCUACUCUUUAGUUGUUCACUUACUUGUCUUCUAACACAAAACUUUUCCAUGACGAGCUCCCUAAUUCUAUCGACGAGGUUGCAAAUAUUGAGACCUUUGAAGUCUUUAAUUUGCUAAUUCUAUGUGAAGCCAUUGUGCAAUUUGCCAACUUUGUAGUUGGACAAUUGUGCUCAAAUGGAAGUGUUUUUAUCUGUGAAUGAGAAAACAACUAUAUAAGUCAGGUGCAACAAAGAUAAUUUGCACAAAAAUAAUAGACAUGUAAAAAACAACACAAGUGCCCAUACCAUGGUUGUUCUACCAUCUUGUAGUACUGAUGCAUGGAUGCGCCAUUUACAUGUCACAUGUGCACACCGAGCAAUAAAUCUAGUGGGAUCGGUUUUGAUUUUAGCCAAUUUAAAACCAACAAUAAUAGCUCUCUGCCUUAUAGCUUUUCUGCAAGCCACAAUGUCAAGAAAAAGAGCACCAACUCUGAUGUCUGGGCUCUCGGGGUCAUGCACCACAGUAUACCCAGCAGGGUCAAUGUCAACCACUUUUUCCUCUUCAUGGCGCGCAAACACAUCAGCACAAUCAUCUUCCUCCUGAAUGUUGCCACCCUCCUCAACACAUGGUGCCGAGACAUCCACAUGGACAUUAUACAUGUACUCAUCGUCUACCCCUACAUACUCCUCAACUAUGUCAAAUGGAUCAGUUUCUAUAACAGGGGCAGAUUACUUUAAUGGUGAGGUUGAAUGAGAUGCUGCAUUCUCGCUAGGAGUUAGAGGACACCCUUCGAAACCCACCAGAAGCACGUCAUCAUCCGGAAUUGUUGGCUCGGACACAUGAACAACAUUGUCAAGCAUAGGCACAGGAGUUUCAGAACAAGAGCUAUCAAACAGAACAACAGAAAGUGUAAGCCUCCUCUCUGCUCUGUACAUGUCAAACAUCACAUCAAAUUCGUCGUUUUCAGUUAGUCUAACAUCUUGCGCCCUUAUCACGUUAAAAUACCACACAAUGAUACUCUGAUCCCUGCCAACUCUCAAUUCUGCACUUAAUCCAUCCAUGAGAACAUCCAUCGUGAAAUCAUCCGAGUUUACAUUCCAUCUAAUCGUUUUCCCCUUUUUUUUUACGAAAACGGCAGCGCCGAUUCAUUACUUAAGAGUGGGGAUAUACACGCGCCAAGCGCAAAGACAAGGAGGAAGCCACAAGGACCGAACAAGAGCUAAGGCUAAACAAGAGCUAGGGCUAGACUAGACCUAGAUUAGAAACGAGAAUCAGAACACCUCUGGGGGGCGGACGGUCUGGAACCAAGCUGUUCUAUCCAUCAAACCACCUCGACAACACGUAGCCCGGCCGCGCGCCACAGCCGGAUCUCCUCGGCGAUAGCAUCAGCAACUGAGCCGGGGGGGGCGACCAUUGGAGUGGAAGACGCGCUGGUUCUGCUCCAACCAGAGAACCACCAGGUAGCCAUGACGAUGCUGCAGAGGCUCUCCUUGUCUGCAGCGCCGCGAGCGCCAUCCACCAACUGAGCCCACCAGGAGAGGAGGUCGCCCGCAGGAGGGGCACGUUGGAUGAGGUGCACCAACCGGAAACGCGGGAGGAGCGAGUGCCACACCUGUCUCAAGUAGGAGCAGUCAGCGAAGAUGUGAUGGGUAGUCUCCGGGCGAAGGAAGCACAAUUGGCAGCUCGGCUUGUGAGCGAUGUUUCACCGGGUCAAUUGAUCCGCUGUGAGACAUCUCCCAAGGCACGCGAGCUAGGCGUGGAACUUAAGCUUGGGCGGUAUCCUAGUACGCCAGACCAGCACCGCCAUGGGAGAGGGGAUGCUGCCGAGAAAUUGCAUCUUGUAGGCGCUCAACGCGGUGUAAGAGCCCGAGCCGUCGAACUUCCAGCGCAGAACGUCCUCGCCAUCAGAGAGCUGGAAAUGCCGUAGCCGCGUCCAAAGGUCGACGAACUGCACCAGGACCGCCGGGGACGGGUCCUGCUUAAUGGCCCGGAUCCACGCAGAGCUCUGCAGGGCACCGGCCACCGACGCCUUUCUCUUACACGAGUGUGAGAAGAGCAGCGGAAACUUCGAGUACAGAGGGCAUCCAUCAAGCCACGGGUCGAACCAGAACGACGUCUUCUGACCAUUGCCGACCAACACCAGGGAGCCAGCCUCAAAGAGCGCGCGAGUGGUUGGAUCCUUCCCGAAGACGCCGUCCUGGGCAGGGACGCCCCAGCUCCUCCAAAGCCAGCGAACCCGCAAAGCAGCGGAGUGACGCUGUAGGCAGGGGAUGCCGAGGCCACCGAAGGCUUUAGGUGAGCAGACCCGGCGCCAGGCGACCAGGCACUUCGCCCCCACAGUCUGGUCCGACCCCGACCACAGGAAGGCGCGGCGAAGCUUAUCAAUUUGCUUGAUCACCCAAACCGGGUUGUGAAGGACCACCAUCUGGUAAGUAGGCAGGGCCGAGAGCACGGCGUUGAUGAGGACCAGCCUGCCCGCACGGUUGAGGAACUGACCCUGCCAUCCUGCCAAUCUUCUGCUCACCUUGUCGAUCAAGGGCUGGUAGUCACCCCUGGUUAAGCGGUUGAAGGAGAGCAGCAUGCCGAGGUACUUGCAAGGGAAGGAACCCGGGCUGCAGGGAAGGGCCGCAACAAUCGGCGUCAUGUCGAGCUCCCCACAGUGAAUAGGUGAGAGGCUGCUCUUGGCAAAGUUGAUUCUCAGCCCGGUGGCGUUGCCGAAGAGCGAGAGAAGGGACGCGGCAGCCUCCGCCUCAGCAGCCGCGGGCUGGAUAAAGAUCAUGACGUCGUCCGCGUAGAUGCUUGUCCGAGAGAGGGCGAGCUGUGGGAAUGGUUGGAAGAUCCCAGCACGGUCGGCCUCCUCGAAGAGCCGGGCCAAGCAGUCCAUGACCAGCACGAACAACAGAGGUGAGAGGGGGUCGCCCUGCCUCAGGGCCCAGCGGUGAAGAAUGGGCGCAGACAGGUCCUGGCUGAAGCACACACGCGUGGACGACGAGCACAACAGGAUAGCGAGCCAGCUGCACCAUCUGUUAGGGAACCCCUGGAAGCGAAGCAGUUGCAGCAGGAAGUCCCACGACACCGUGUCGAAUGCCUUGGAGAUAUCUAGCUUUAGCAGAAGAUUGGGCCACUUCCUGGCAUGCACCGACUUGAGCCAGCUCUGGACGUGAAAGAAGUUGUCAGUAUGCACUGACUCGUUUUCCCCUUCACGUAUGAUUUUCUACCGUUUGGUUCCUUCAGCACAAAUCCUUGAACAACAAGGUCUAAGCUAAAAGCAUUCAUCAAUUCGAGCCUACAAAUUUCAUGGAAAAUAGCGAAUGUUCAGAGAAUGAAAGUACAACAGUCCGUACAUUCAAGGAGGAGAGAAGAGGUUGGGAGCGGUGAUGUUGGGGACUCACUCGUACAGCGACUCGGGGAUUGUCAACUCCAUGAUGAUCGGCCCCCGACGGGACUCCCUCCACCCACCGCUCGCCUCCAAUCAUGGCGACGGGAACCUCAAGUCGCCGCGGCCCUCCACAGCAGCGGGCGAGCUCCGCCACCGCCCAUCUCCCGCAAGCCACCGCCGUCGCCCGCCUCCCUCCAGCCGCCACCGCCGCCCGCCUCCGUCUAGCCGCUGUCGCCCGCCUCCACUUUUUCUAGGGUUCCUUAGGUCAGGAUAGAGGAGCGCCUGGGGUAAUUAGAGAAAGGUAGAGAAAUAAAACUAUUUGAGUUGGGAUAAAAAAAAAAUUGUUUGUAUAGAGUUAUGCAUAUAUGUAUUUAGAUAUAUACGUCAUGGUAUUGGACAAAAUGGCAUGAAUAGAGGUAUAAGAAAGUUAGAGUGGCAUUUUUCCAAGUCAAGUUUUUGUAAUGGCAUAUUUCCAAUCGAUGAAAUAGAGAGUGGCAUAGAUCAAUUAACCCGAUAUUUUAACCCAAAGCGUCCUUUUGGCUGUCCGAGAGACGAUGUCCACCAACUGCUCGACGAAAUGUCCAAUACAAUGAGAAAGAGAUGUAAGGUUGAUCAGUGGCGGAGGCAGGGACCAGGCCAGAUUUCAUCAUAUGAGCUUCAUAUUUUUAUGCUUUGGCCUUUCUUAAUAAAUCAUCUUUUUAUUCUGGUCCUCUCUAUAUCAUUUUCCUGCCUCCGUCCAUGAGGUUGAUGCCACUUGAACAAGCACAUGGAUGGUUAUCACUGAGAGAAACUGUUUUGGGUCCACUCCAGUAUCAAAUGUGGCUGAUUUGAGAAGAUGUGGGGCGAAAAACAUAUUUGGGGUCGGAAACAUAUUUGGUUAGCUUAUGGAACAUGAUAGAAGUUAUUUGGUUAGAUAUGGAAACGCCGAUUUCUUUUUCAUGAGGCUGAACCAAAUGAAUUUUUUUUAGAAUUUCAUGAAAGAAUGUAGAUAGUUUUCAUUCCUAUAGAUCAAGCAAGUUUGUUUUUUCAAAGGAACAAAAUCCUCCAACUUUUCUUUUAUAAAUUCUCUUAAGAAUAUUCAACGUGAGUGCUUAGUGCUUACGUAGUUACUUGUAGAUUGUGCUAUCUUCCUUCACCGUCCGGAGGUGAGGAUGAAAUCAUUGUAACUGCAUUACCUAACGUAGAAAGUCCCAGCGGUAGUCAGCACCAUGCAUGCAUGUUCUCCUGACAUGUUUUUCCGGAUGACAAAGAGUAGAUUAUGGCUUAAUGUACACUCAAAACACUGCAGGCUGCCGAUCCAGACCGGUUGUUCUUUGACCUUUCAGCUGGACUACACGGCCGUACUCCUCUCUCGCCUCCCUAUAUCUCUUGUCGAAUCAAAAGACAAACGGAACCGGCCUACAAAACAAUUUUGUAAUCUCCUACACGACGCUUCUUCGCCAUGUGAGGGGUAAGAUAACAACAAGGUGUACUGAUGAUAUCACGCUCAUAAGCGAACAAAAAGGCUAGUAAGCAUCUACCAUAUUUUAGCCGGGGCGCGGACAAAGCACCAUCUUGUCGUGGCUCCCAUGUCCGUUUGCUGCCUUCGCGAAAACUGAAAUGACCCUAAACGCCCCCGGAAGAAGUGGAAAACACAAGCCAUUGACCAUUCCAAGAGCUCGCAACAACAGAUUGCAAAAGCUCCCAAUCAUUGUCCUAGCUAGUCACAUCUCAGAUCGAUCUUUGCUCUCCAGAGAACUAAUCAUAAAUCAAGUGCUAGGGAGAGGAAGAAGGAGAUCAUACAUGCAAGUAAUUACAUCCGGAUCCAAACUCCAGAGCUCUAACGGGCUAGCUAAUUACAGUUGCUACAUCAUCACUUUGUAUGUGAUUUCGUAUUUGCACACAAGGCACUACUCAGCUACUCACUAGUCACUAGUGUGUUCUUCUGCACGAGAGGAAAAAAUGGAGGCGCGCGAAGAACCUGUAGUGCUAGUUGUGCAGCGGGUUAGGGCCCUGCGGAACAAGCCUCUUGGAGUCACCGAACUCCGCCGCUGCCGCGUCGCCGCCGGCCGUCUCCGCCGACACCGCCGCCGGGGACACCCAGCUGUGUUGCGUCGGCGUCGGGGCGCGCUUGGACGCCGCGACGUCUGCAGCUCUGAGGAUCCUGUGGCCGCAGCUGAAGGUGGCGAGCUCGGACGCCAGGAUGAGAAGCAACAUUGCUAGGAGCGUGGCCGGCAGUACCGUGCCGCCGGCGUCCCUCACCAUGAUAAUUAAGAAGAGAGAUGGGGAAGAGGGGAGAGGGGGUGAGCUAGCUUGGUGAGCUAGUGGGCUGCUGCCUCAGCUCCCGGAAGAAGUGGAGGUGGUUCUGCAAUAACUGCGUCUGUAUGGACGCGGGCAGAGACUGUUGGGAGGAGGAGGAGGUAGGGGCCGAGAGGAUGUUGUGUGUGCGUGUAUCAUGUGCCUUGUUGUGUUGUGCCGUGGGUGCUACUACUAGUGCUAAGAUGGCCGGACGGCGGACGGUGUCCCCGUUUUCGAUCUGUAGACUGCAGUGUUGAAUUUGUUCGUGUUAAGGGAAGGGAUGAUGGUUGGAGCUUUGAGAGGUGGCCAGUUGACUAUUAGAAAAAUAAGCAAACGACAUGUUGCAUGUGUGUUGCUCUAUGAUACUGGUUAGGCAGUGUCCGGGUCUUUUGGGCGUAAUGUAUUCGUGCGUUCUAGAGUAACUUGCUGGGGGCCGGUGGUAACAAUUAAUCCAAACAUUGUGAUGGCAUGAUCUGUAUCCUGGCGAAAAAGCUGAGUGCUCGUUUGGUUCUGGCUCUCAGCCGGAUGACUGAAUUCUGUUAUUUCAGCUCUCAUGAAUGAGAUGCAGUAUGCUGUAUGUCGUAUGCGGACAAGGUAUGACGGGAAGACCCAAAGGAAAUCAAUGAUGUACUCCAGUGCAUUUCUCUUUAUGAAUCCUGACUACCUUGAACUAGACAAUCGGCUCAUCCUAUCGACAAUGCCUCUCGCAGAAUUUUCACACGUCUCCAUUGUACAAAUUACUACUGAGAUUCUGAGUACAUUUUUUUAAAGAUGUUUAAUACGUUUUCUGUUCUUUUUUAUAAGAUGUUUUACUUUUGUUUUAAAUUCAAACUUCUUAAAAUUUAACCAUUUUUUGUAAAAAAACACACUAGUGUGUACAUUAGAAAUAUAAGCAUACUAUAAAGAUACCAUGACCAGGGACAUACACCUUGCAAGACAAGCUGUAAAACCACUUCUCUGUCGAUGAAUCAACAAUGAAAAAAAUCAAAACACGAAAAGACGUGUCAUGAGAACCACUGACUCUGUGGCAUAAGUUGUGCCUACACCAGGACUAGAAAAGAGGCAGAACACUAAUCUUCUAAAUGACGUCGUCUCCAUCGCCAAAACGACACCGAGAAGAACACGCAAACCUAACAAAAAAAUAGCAAAACUAGAUGUCAUAUGUUAAUCCAUUGUUUCCCUCGUCUCUCGACGCCAGCUCGGACGUGAGAGAGGAGAGGAACUGCGGGAGACUGAAGCUUCUUCGACGACAGCUGCGGCUAGUGUUUUCUCCGUUGGCACACAAAGACGGCGGCUCGCGGAUCUGAAUUCCUAGUUGGUCACUUGGCUCUCUCUUUUUUCGGGAAAAUACGCACUUGGGCUGUUGCAAUCACCUCAGCCCAACCCAGCUUAAGGACGGGUAGAGUUGGGCUUUUAAGCGGCCCAACACAACGUAGGAGAGUACCCUGAGAGACGACGCAGCACACGGGACACAGCGCGUAGGCCGCGGUCGCCGCCGGUUCGCCUUUUAUUCUCGGCGGUACUCGACACGGAGCAACUCCUCGUUGUCCAAAAUCCCCGGAGAAAGAGGGAGAGAGUCAGAGGCGGAGCAGCCGCGGAGAAGCGGCGGCGCUAGCAAGCUAUGGAGUACCGCAACAAGUUGGUGCUCGCGCCCAUGGUCCGCGUGGUAACUCCUCUUGAUCUUAACCCUCCCUCUCUGAUUCCCAGCAGCAGCGUCCCCAACUCCCCAUGACCAUGAGUUGGGGAGCUUAGGGACCGAUUUUUAGUCUCCCGAGCACUAGGUCCUAGAUUUAGGUCUCUCCGAAUCUAAAGCCGGACGCCUUAGUGUGCGCCGGAUGAAUGAGUAGCUCGCCUUCUCGGCGCGUUGUUCUAUGGGCGGUGGCCGUGGGUUGGAGGCUAUUCGCUGCCGUGUUAACAAAAAUGAAGCCUGAGAGUUCUCUAGUUUGAAACCAGAGUUUCUCUCGAUUCAGCUCUAGGGACUGGAAUCUUAGCGAGCCUCCAUGUGCGACAAAUGAUAAAUAACACACUACCCUAUUGAUGAACUGAUGAUGGCUUUCCACCUGUUACAUGUACUUUUGGAGGUGCAGUGCAAAGGUUCACCUGAACCUUUCAUAUGGUAACAUCCAAAUGAACCAUUUGAGAGAUGUGGUAUCAAGGCUGCAGGUUUACUUGAUUGAUUAAAUUUGCUUCUAGCAUGUCAUGUUCUGAAAACGUGAGAAUACUAGUCAAGUAGUCAUUUAUUACCUCAUGGUUUGGGUAUUAAAAGACACUGUAUAUUGAGAAACAGUACGCAUGCAAAAUUGUACUAGUUUUGUCGAUGUUAAUAUCAUCGAACUUUAUCAUUUCUCCUGCACUUUUGCUUCUAAUGGGGCGGUAUUACUGCACCUUCACUGAGUUCCAGUGCUGGCUUACUGAAUAUGUAGUAGCCAUCCUCCAUAAUUCACAUUUAUUGUCUUGAGAGAGACUAUUUCCUUGAAUUUGUAAUACACAGUUCUAUUGGCAUACUGGUGGUAUCUAACUUAUGUUGUUAAUGUCUUGUGCAGGGUACUCUGCCGUUCAGGCUACUGGCUGCUGAGUAUGGCGCUGAUAUUACAUACGGAGAAGAAAUUGUAGAUCAUAAGUUUUUGAAGUGUGAACGUGUUGCAAAUGGUACUGUGGUUGAAUUGUUGUUUGACAGCUUACGAUGAUCUGGCAACUUCCACAUCUCCUUUUAAGAUUUAAAUAUCAUAGUAUUAUAGAUAACAUUGCACUUGAAGUUGGUGACUGGAAACAUUCAUCUGAGAUGAUUCUUGGAUGGGAAAAAGUUUGUAUUGAAGAUAAGAGUAAAAAUACAAGGACAAAUUAAUUUAAGAUUGUAUAAUUAUAUAUUUUAUGGAGUUGGAAAUUCUUGAUUUUACCUGUGAGUCCAAGUAAUGAUUUGACAACCACUCGAUUUUGUUUCUUUGUUCCCCUAUGUUAUUCACUGCAGAUUUAUUUGGCAUGGUUUCCCUGAUUUUAAUUAUGGUAUUCAUCGUUUUUCAGAAUCUCUUGGGACUACUGAUUUUUUGGAGAGAGGGACUGAUAAUUUAGUUUUCCGAACGUGCCCACAAGAAAGGGACAGGGUUGUAUUUCAAAUGGGGACAUCAGAUGCCGUGAGGGCACUUAAAGCUGCUCAGAUUGUGUAAGCUUUAUUUCUGAAUUUAUUUGACGCAAAAUUUGUAGGUAAACUAACUUAAAGCGCACUGAGUUAUUUGGGCCAAUUGACUACCUAAAUUGUUUGCUCUGCUCAUUUGAUCAAGGAAUUUGGUUAGUUGGUGUAACAUUUUCUUAUUUGCAUCUUCUCUUUACUCAUUGCAUUUCAUCAUCACCAGGUGUAAUGAUGUUGCAGCUAUAGAUAUCAACAUGGGUUGCCCAAAGUCUUUCUCUGUCAGUGGAGGAAUGGGUGCUGCAUUACUCUCCAAACCUGAGCUUAUACACGAUGUACAUGGUCCUAUUUAUUGUCUUACUUUCUUAUCCCUGUUAUUUACUGUGCUUAUUAAGUCUAUGCAAAUUGUACCAUCUAGAUUUUGACCACACUGCGAAGGAACUUGGACACAACCUUGACAUGUAAAAUCCGUCUUCUGAACACACGUCAGGACACUGUGGAGUUGGCACGACGGAUUGAGAAAACCGGUGUUCCAGCUCUGGCUGUCCAUGGAAGGUAAGCACACAUAGAUUUGUACUGUCUGGUCCUGUCUUACUUGAAAAAUGCAUAAUUUGAUCAUCCUUACUUUUCAAUGGUGUCAACCAAGUUUAAAACCUGAAUUUGUAAAUAUGAGCGAAAGUUAUAUCAUAUGCACAACCAUUCUGUUGAUUAGGAUUAUAUUACCCAAAUUGAUAUCGCUUAAAUCCAUGGAAAGUUCAGGGUCCCUUUUCUUUUGUAACAUUUGAGCUUUAUUUUGUAAGCCAUUUAUUUUCAGUAAUGAAAAUGCAAUAUGAUGUGGUGUCACUAUUAUCCUUAAUUUUUUCAUGUGCCCUAGAACCCUAAUUUUCGUUUUGGGUAAUUGGUUCCCUUGUGUCAACCUUCUUUUAAAGUGCAGAAAGGUCAAAGACAGGCCAAGAGAUCCCUCUAAGUGGGAUGAGAUUGCCGAUGUUGUGUCCGCAUUGUCAAUUCCAGUUAUAGCUAAUGGGGAUGUUUUUGAGUACGAUGAUUUUAAGAGAAUCAAAGAUGCCACAGGUUUGUAUAUUCACACUAAUUGCUCUUACAUUUUAUUUUGCUCUGUAAAUGGAUACCAAAUUAACUCAAAUUAGUUUGGGUUUUUUCAUUUGCCAGUUACAAGUACUGCACUUACUUUACUCCUAGCCAAAAGCACAAAUCUCCAUGUAAUGUGAUCGCCACAAUAUUAGAUCAUUUCCUAAAUGUUUUCACAUUCAAGAAUGCAUAACCAGUUUCUUGAAAACCACGAAUGUGAGAGAUUGACUCCUUACUGCCAGUAUUUCUUGGGGAGUUGUGCACUGGCAUACUGAUUUUGCUUCUCUUUGAUGUUGUUUUUGACAAUGGGUUUGUGUCUUGAUUCCUGUAACUGCUAGGUGCCACGUCUGUAAUGGCUGCUAGAGGUGCCCUGUGGAAUGCAUCUAUUUUUUGUGCCAAAGGGACAACACCUUGGGAGGAGGUCAAAAGAGAGUACAUAAGAAAGGUAUUUAAUGUUGCUGUCUGCAUUCUGUUCUGUUCAGCCUCCCUGCAUUUGAUCUGUUCAACCUAAGUUAAAUUGUCAUGUUUUUUACUUAUUGUAUUGACAUGUCCUUACAUUGUAAUUUUUUUGAGCAGAGUAUUUUGUGGGACAAUGAUGUGAAGAGCACAAAACAUACAUUAAAAGAAAUGAUAAUGCGCUAUUCUUGCCUUGAACUCGCUGAAGGGAAAGGUGUGAUAAAGUGUGAUUCAUCAGCAGAUAUAGCGUAAGUGAUUACUUAUGCAGAUGUCUCUGUGUGAUUACUGCACCUUAUUUUGCAAUGCUGUGGUUUCUUGCAAUCUGGCUCAUUUGUUCUACGUUUAUUCAUUAUUUGGCAACUAUCUUAACAGUUCUUCUUCUCAUGUCUUCAGGAAACUUUACAAGGAAGAGGACUACUAUAAUUUUGUUGUUUCAAACAGGAAAUGAACAAAACUUGGUUUUGCUAACCCUUCAUGCGACCCAGGUAUCUAUAUAACUGUGCAAGUUUGCAUUUCUUCACAAGGAAUGAAAGAGAUGUUUCGAUAGAGAAGUUCUCUCCUGCAAAAUUAAGAAUCGGCUCAAGAAUUCAUGUUCUGUACGAUUUGAAAACUUACUUUCCCAGUUUCACUUGCAUGGUGAAUGGUUCCUUUGAUAAAUGUUGUCAUUGGUCCUUUCUUGUCUGUAUGGUGUCUAAAUUGAAGUGCAGUAUGUGGGGACCAAAACUUGAUUUCAACUUGUUAAUUGCAUUUGUCUGUGUGCACACCCACGCGUGUGUUUUCCUGAACCAUGAGAAGUGGCUAAAUCUGUCUGGAAGAUCACAGUUGUUAGUUAACACCAUUUGCAGCCAUACAUCGAAUCUUGGAUCUGAAAAGUUUGCAGGCAUUUGUCAGUGUGCACAUCCAAGUUGCAACUUCAUUAAGUUACUUAAGAACAAGCAGUAAAGUUUGCCAGUAAUUUGGUAAGCAUGACUUGUAAUUACUCAUGAGUCAUGAGUUGACAUUGUGAUCGUGGACUGUCACCCCUGUCACGAAGGGCACCCCUUAUCCCAAAAGGUUGAUGGACUAGAAGUUUGGUAUUUAGCUCCAGAUUCUACCAAUGCACUUCUCAUUUUUAUUUGGGUUGCAAUGUUUCAUAAUUCCUACUGGUUCCUUAAAUUAUCAAUGAUUUUACUCCUUAAAUCAUCAAUGAUUCCACUGAAAUUACACACACACACACACACACACACACACACACACAUAUAUAUAUAUGUAAUUUCAUGUUUUCUGGCAGCAUCUGCUUGGAUCCUUGUCUCAGUCUUACGAAUGGAUAUUUUGGAUGUGUUUCAGUGGAGUUUUGGAGAAUUUCAUCAUAUCACCAGCCAAUACGAGGUUUGCAGUUUUGUCUUUGCACUGUACCAUGUUAGUAUCUGAUCGAGAGGAUCCACAGGUUUAUUAUUUGGCCGGUAGUCUUACAGCAUGUUCUUUUAAAGUAGGAAACUUUGAGAGAGGGCUCUUAUUAGACUCACAGGAUUUUUGAAGCAUUUUGAGAUAUUAUAUUCUUUACGCUAAUGGUAGUAGAUAGAAUUCAUACGUGAUACUGAUUAAACACCAUUUUUGUAAGCUUAUAUUUUAUGCUUUCUGCUAGUGCAGAGCUCGAAAGUCCAUGUCAGAUACUGUUCGUCGAAAUCAUGUAAUUUGGGUAAUACUUGAUCUGUUGAUUGUAUAAUUUAACACUUGGAUUAUGUCCAUCUUGUCCCAAUUCGCAAAUGCUUUGCAGUCUGUUUGAUUCAAAGAAUUUUGAUAGGAUGUUUUGGAGGACUGUGGGUCGUAUGAUUUGUAGGAUUGUGAUCCAUAUGGAUUUUUUUUUCAGUCUUGCACUAUAUAUUUCAUUGGAAAUAUUUCGUUCGCUCUUACCUCUUUGAAAUUCUUCUAUGUUUCUUUAUGGAGCUUCAAACAUCAUCUCGUUCCAAUUUUUACGUGCUUUUACAAUUGUAAAGAAAUUAAAAAAAACAUGAGAUUUGGAUAGAGAAAACAUUAAGGGCCCCUAUGGUUUGAAUGAAAUUUUUUUUAGAUUUCAGUCCAUAGAAAUUUUUCUUAUAGAGGCCUUUUAGAUCAAUGGAAGACUGGCACAUUAAUCCUAACUUUACAUAUUCCAGUUCUUUUAGAACCCUGCGUCUCACACUGAAUUGUGUCCCUGGCUAACCAGUUUGUUUACUAUAGCUGGGGAGAAACUUCGAAUGCCUUAUAUGUUUUGGCUCCUUUUCAAGUAUUCCAUGAAUGUCUUUUUGGCCUGACGUUUGCCGCAGUUGUACACAGUAGAAUGCCUUCAGUCACCUGGUUGCUUUGACUGUACCAAUGGUCGGCUUACCUCCUGCGUUCUGGAUUCUGGAAGCACAAAAUCUGCGUCAUCCAUGACGUCAGAGAUAUCAUCGACAAUGGUAUUUCUUGUGAAAGGACUUGUUGCUAUAUACACUGGAGUUUCAGUCUUUCACGGUAUCUCACUCAGCUUUCUGUAACCAAAGACUUGUUGGACUAGACCCCUACGGCCUACGCUAUGUUGAACGAUAUUCCCAUCCAGAACUAAUGUUUUGAAUCUGAACAGACAAAAACCAAUUUCCCCUCCAAUCUACAGUGUAGGUCCUUCUUUAGCAUUUUCAGUCCUACAGCCACAGUGUAUUUUCGCUCAUUUUCCUAUUUAUCCUCGUUGUUUCAUCAAGAACUAAAUUAUGCAAAAUAAGUUGUAGAAAGAAUUAAGAAUGGCAUUGCAUUUCACCUCUAUCCUUGAUUCGUCUGUAUUUUCAAUCGGAAGGAGUAUUCAAUUGUGAUCAAGGGAGAUCAGAAAUGAUCUUGCAAACAAUCGUCGGGCUAGAACUCCAGAAUGCACUGGCCCAGAAAGAUGUCCAUUUGGAACGCCUGUAGUACAUUCUCGAUCUUGUCAUGGGUGAUAAACAACCAGACAUUUCAAAGAACCAAGCGUGCGUAGACGGAGCAUAGACAUGAAACAUAGACUCCACCUAUCUUUUACUCAAGCUCUGCUUAGUUUAAAAUUCGGAGGGGAUAACAUUUGAUUUACAAAUUCUGCUCAAUAUCAGUACUUACAAAUUCGGAGGAGAUAACGUUUGGUUUGCAUUUGGAGCUCGUGGCACUGUAGUGGUUAAUAGAGCUGAGGAGAGUCCAGUAGUUGAUCACGAGUGAACAGCACAACACGUUACAUUAAGGUUAUCCACGCUACACCCAGAAAAACGCACCCAGAACAGGCUAGUACUAGUUUAGUUACAAGACCGCGACUCAUCUCCCCCCGGACAGGUCAGACAUCUGAGACAUGGUGCCGGCGGUGAUGGACGUCAUCGGGAACGACAUGACGUAGGGGUCGAACCCCUGGUCCUGCAUGACCGCGAGCAUGUUGAAGCUCUGGUACGUCGGCGACAGCUCCGGCAGCUUCACGUCGCCGUCCAGGUACUGCACGAGCUGCCGCGUGGUCGGCCGCGCGCCGGGCAGCGGGUGCGAGCACAGCAGGCCCAGCCUCAGCACCAGGCUCGCCUCGUGCUCGACGAAGUCGCCGCCCAGCCGCGGGUCCACGGCGCCGGUGACCGACCCCGCGCGCCAUUGGUCGAGCACCCAGUCCACCAGCACCAGGUGGUUGUCGCUCGCGUCCUGCACGACGGGCUUCCUCCCGCACGCCACCUCCAGCAUGAAUGCCCCGAACGCGAACACGUCCGACGCCUUGGAGGCCUUCCCCGUGUGGCCGAGCUCCGGCGCCAGGUACCCCAUGGUGCCCACCACGUGCGUCGUGUGCGGGUCCGUGCCGUGGUCGUACAGCCUCGCCAGCCCGAAGUCCCCCAGCCGGCCGUUCAUCUCCGCGUCCAGCAGCACGUUGCUGGCCUUGAUGUCCCUGUGCACGACAACCUGAUCCCAGUCCUCGUGAAGGUACAGCAUCCCCGACGCGACGCCCUUGAUGAUGCGGAACCUCUGCCCCCAGCUCAGCGAGACCUUCUGCUGGUCGUAGAGAUGCUUGUCGAGGCUGCCGUUGGGCAUGUAGUCGUAGACUAGGAGGAGCUCGCCCUUGCGCCGGCAGUAGCCGAGCAGCUGCACGAGGUUGCGGUGCCGGAGCCGGCCGAUGCUGACCACCUCGGCCACGAACUCCUUCAUCCCCUGCCUCGACCCGUGCGACACCUUCUUCACCGCGAUCUCCGCCUUGGACGACGGCAGCAGGCCGCGGUACACUCUCCCGAACCCGCCGAUGCCGAGCAGCCGGCUGUCGCUGAACCCGUCGGUGGCGUGGAAGAGGUCCUUGUACGCGAACCUGUGCGGCCCGAACGCAACCUCCCAGUCUUCCUUGAGCUCCGCGAACAUCCGCCGCCUCCGCAUGACCACGAAAACGACGGCCGCCACCACAAACACGAGAACCGCGGACGCUAUCGGCAGCACGAUCUCCAGAGUCCUGGACCGCGGCUUCGGGGUCGUGACCGGCAUAGAGGGCAGCGAGGAGAUGUUGAGCGCCGGGGCCGCGCCGUUCAUCUUCAAGCUCCAGCCGAGGACGUAGUGGCGGCAGAAGAGGAUGCCGCUGGACGACGAGAACCCGACGUAGGCGGUGUCGUCGAUGACGGAGGAGAGGUUGACGGUGGUGGAGAGCAGGGGCUUCUUGGGCCGGGCCACCACCUCCAGGGGCGCCAUGGUGACAUUCACCUGCAUGGCCUGCCCGUCGAAGUCCACCCACACCUGCAUCGGCUUGCGGUUCACAAGGCUCAUGUUCUUGAACGCGCCGGUGCCGUCGUCGUAGUACCCGGCGUUGUCGGCGUCCACGGAGUUGAGCCCGUUGACGUCGAUGCCGACGUGGUUGCCGCUCAUGUCGUUGAACUCCGAGUUGAGGAUGGUGUCGAACUCCACCGCGAAGAGGUGGUUGGUGGCGUUGCCGUUGUUGGCGGAGCCGACGAGGCCCAGGAACUGGCCCGGGAGCGCCGAGGUGAGGUUCCUGCUCUUGGCGAUUAUGAAGGCCAUGCCGUGGCUGCUCAGGUCCUCGUACGCGCCGAUGAUGCCGAUGACGAAGGCCGUGGAGAAGGACUGCAUGGCCGUGCUGUUGGGCGCCCUGUGGAACUGGAGCGGCGUGGGGAAGAAGGCGUGUCCCUUGAGCUGGCUGGUGGCGUUGGUCAGCUGGAGGAGCCCGUUUGGGGUCACUCUGGCCAUGCCGUCCAUGGAGAGGUUGGCGCCGGUGAACCCAUUGAAGACGAACUGCUCGUCCGCUGACGCCGCGGGGCGGAGGAGGCCGCUGAGGCCGAGGAAGAGGAGCAGGAGAAGGAACGGCAUGGUUUGGUUGGGAAGCAGCAUGGCUGCUCAGUGCAAACAAAACAGUGGUGAAUUGAAGCGAACUCCGAGUGGUGUGGCUGGCCUCUAUAGCCGUCAGUACUGUACUCCCGGUGUCUAAUUAACACCAGCUUUUCAGUAGUGUGAAGUUGACCAGAUGUAAACGUCAAGAUUCCUGUCCAUCCGGGUGGGUUGUUGCGGCCAGUCGCCCUUGUACCUGUAGUCCUGUACGCAUCGGCGGCGAGAGCGAGAGGAGCAAGGCAAACUCCGUUUCCGGGUCGGCACAGUGGGCGCCGAAUUACCUUACAGCGAUGGUUGCACGGAUGUCGACGCGUCUGAGGUGCCGUGCCGCGAUGCGGACGGGUGAGGUUCAGACGCCAGAAGCGUCAACGAUUCCGGCCUCCUUUUCCGCUUGCCCGCGAAAGAAGUCGUCUCCUCGUCGAGAAGGACGCGACUUCGGGACCCGGGGGCGACGCGACCCACGCAAGCGUUAAACUAGCGGCGGGGCCAGCCAUACACCGUGCCGGCGCACAAGCCGUGGCAGCUCCUUUGCUUGCGGCGUCUUCGUUGGAAGCUUCCUGGCUCCGUCUCGUCUGCUUUGCUGUGCGCCCUGGCCCCUGGCUGGGGUUUGUCAUUCACUCACAUCUGACCGAUCCACUCGUCUCAUUGUCUCCGGUGGUUGAGGAUUGGAGAGAUACUAGUAAGUCAGCGGCCAGCCACCAGAAGAGAUUCAUAGUUAUCUGCCUCGCGAUUUCAGUGUGCAGUUUCUUUUGACUAUCUGCAACUCUAGGCUCAUUGCUGAGCAAAACCUUAAUGAUUCUGACAUGAGUAACAAGAAAAGCGAGGUUGGGUGGCAGGUCUAACGCGCACCAACUCUAUUUCGUCGCAAUUGGCAGCUGCCUAAUGUAAUGGUUAUCUAAUCAGGAUGCGUUACAGCGCGACCCAUGAUGACAUGACCACUCACUCCUGUCAUAAUGCCAUCCGCCGCUUAAGAUAUUUUAUCUGAAUUUCUUUUUUGACUUUGACUCGCAAAGUCGUCUACGUCUAAUGGCAAACGUACGGAAGGUAGCGACGUGGGCCUUACGCACCGGUCCCGGAGGCAACCGGAGCAGUAUCAUUUGUCCCUGUACUAUGAAGAACCGUGACAGACAGACCAUGUUGACAUUAUCAAACACAAUCUUGAUCCGCACUCAGGCAGCAGAUUUUGAACAAAGACUCGCCAUUUCCAGUCAAUGCAUCGCACGAUCACCUAAUCAGGAUAAUCCCCGUUCACAUUACUGUAGUCCACUUCAUGCUCUACACUACAAACGGAGCUGCUCGAGCUACUUGCACGAGACGCAGCGGACACAGGCUAGCAAGCAACGCACGCUCGCGAUGUGUCCUAGCCGCAGCUUCCUGCUCCCCAUCCUCCUCCUCGCCCUCCUCGCCGGCGAUGGCUCUGACCACGCGGCCGUGCUCGCCGCGGACCAGUUCACCUACAACGACUUCUCCGGAGCCAACCUGACCCUCGACGGCCUGGCCGCCGUGGCGCCGAACGGGCUCCUGGCGCUGAGCAACGGCACGAGCCAGGCGGCCGGGCACGCGUUCCACCCGACGCCCGUCCGCAUGCGGAACAAUAACGGCGCCGCCCAGUCCUUCUCCGUCGCCUUCGUCUUCGCCAUCGUCUCCAACUUCACGGUGCUGAGCGACAACGGCAUGGCGUUCGUGGUCGCGCCCAGCACCAGGCUCUCCACCUUCAACGCCGGCCAGUACCUCGGCAUCCUCAACGUCACCGACAACGGCAAGGCCGAGAACGGCGUCUUCGCCGUCGAGCUCGACACCAUGCUCAACCCGGAGUUCCAGGACAUGAACAGCAACCACGUCGGCGUGGACGUCAACAGCAUGAGGUCCGUGCAGAACCACUCCGCGGGGUACUACGACGACGCCACGGGGGUGUUCAGCAACCUGAGCCUCAUCAGCCGGCAGCCGAUGCAGGUGUGGGUGGACUACGACGGCGCCACCACCCGGCUCGACGUCACCAUGGCGCCCCUCGACGUGCCCAGGCCCAGGAAGCCCCUCAUCUCCGCGCCCGUCAACCUCUCGGCGGUACUCGUGACGGACACGGCCUACGUCGGGUUCUCGGCGGCCACGGGAGUCAUCUUCACGCGCCACUACGUCCUCGGCUGGAGCUUCGCGCUCAACGGGCCAGCGCCGCCGCUCGACACCUCGAAGCUCCCGGCGCUGCCGCGGUUCGGCCCGAAGCCCCGGUCCAAGGUGCUGGAGAUCGUGCUCCCUAUCGCCACGGCGGCUUUCGUCCUCGCGCUGGCCAUCGCCUUCUUCCUGUUCGUGCGGACGCGGGUGAGGUACGCCGAGGUGCGCGAAGACUGGGAGGUGGAGUUCGGGCCGCACCGGUUCUCGUACAAGGAGCUGUACAAGGCCACAAAGGGGUUCAAGAACAAGCAGCUGCUCGGCACCGGCGGCUUCGGCAGGGUGUACAAGGGCGUGCUCCCAAAGCCGAAUCUCGAGAUCGCGGUGAAGCGGGUGUCGCACGACUCGAAGCAGGGGAUGAAGGAGUUCAUCGCGGAGGUGGUCAGCCUGGGCCACCUGCGGCACAGGAACCUCGUGCAGCUGCUCGGCUACUGCCGCCGGCAAGGCGAGCUGCUCCUGGUGUACGACUGCAUGCCCAACGGCAGCCUCGACAAGUACCUGUACGACAAGACCAAGCCCGUCCUGGACUGGGGGCAGAGGUUCCAGAUCAUCAGGGGCGUGGCGUCCGGCCUGCUGUACCUCCACGAGGACUGGGAGAAGAUCGUGAUCCACCGUGACGUCAAGGCCAGCAACGUGCUCCUGGACGGGGACAUGAACGGCAGGCUGGGCGACUUCGGGCUCGCGAGGCUGUACGACCACGGGCUGGACCCGCAGACGACGCACGUGGUGGGCACGAUGGGCUACCUGGCGCCGGAGCUGGUGCGCACGGGCAAGGCGACGCCGGUCACGGACGUGUUCGCCUUCGGCGUGUUCGUGCUGGAGGUGGCCUGCGGGCGGCGCCCGCUGGGGUGCGCCGCGCCCGACGAGCAGAACGUGCUGCUGGACUGGGUGCAGGAGCACCAGCGGAGGCACGCGGCGCUCGACACCGUGGACCCGAGGCUGUGCGGCAAGUACGACGCCGACGAGGCGCGGCUGGCGAUCAAGCUGGGGCUCAUGUGCGCGCACCCGCUGCCCGACGCGCGGCCCCGGAUGCGGCAGGCCACGCAGUACCUGGAGGGCGAGGUGCCCAUGCCGGACCUCGUGCCCACGUUCCUCAGCUACACCACGCUCGCGCUGAUGCAGAACGACGGGUUCGACUCCUUCGCCAUGUCGUUCCCUUCCACGGUCAGCACCAGCGUCAGCCCCAUUUCCGGUGACGUCUCGGCCGUGUCCGGCCUAUCCGGCGGGAGGUGAAUCGACAAGCAAUGUUAAGGACUCUUGAUUUCUCUUUAUGCUGUUAGGCAUUCUCGUACGCGUCAUCAGGCCAUCUCGUGUGGACUAACAUGUAGAGCACCAGUUGUAAGUUGUAACUUGUAACCACUGCUAGCUCCUAAUGCUGGAUAACUGCGAGUUUUCUGGAAUAGAAUAAUCUGGAACCUGCGAGUGCAAUGUUUCUCAAGCGUCCAACGUCACCUGCAGAAACACCGGUAAAGCGCGACGCAUGAUGCCGUUGCCAUGCCUGUACGUGGGACGCGAACAAACUCUUCUCUCGCUUUGGGAAAUCGGCUUUGUCAGAGCCGCAGGCGCGCUGCAUGGGGUUGAUGAACUCAUGGGGUAGCGACUAUGUAAGCAAUGACGACUCGGGUUGGAUUCUGCCUGCGCGGCGCGACAGGACGAAAACGAUUAGGUAGCCGCGGCUAAAAGGAUGAUCGCCGCGACGGCAGUUGUUGUCGCGCACGCACGGGCUACUGGACUGUUGCGGCGCCUAUUGUUUUCCAAACCGUGCCACAUGCGAAGGCGGUGUGGUCGGAACUCUCAACUUUGGAAUUGCAGGUUGGCCAGGGUGGUUUGGCUUCUUGCCGAUGAUCUCUUCACCAGGUUUCAGAAGACAACCAUGUUAUCCCGCACACAUCGCAUUAGCAGGAUUCUUAAGCAGGUUUCAGAGUCAGGGCAGCAUCCUCGUGCCAGAAGUCUGGCCUCGUUCUAUAGUGUGUUGCGGUUUUUUAGUCCUGGGUCUCUUCUCUUCUAGAACUCGACCUGCCACUCUCCACGCGUACAUUCGUCAUGCACACCGUGUGUUUACAGGAAGGGUUGGUUUGCCGUACACGCCGUUAUGCACAGCUGACAAUUGCUGACGGGCAGACGGUAGGUAGGUGACCCGGAAUGCAGGCCGGAAAUGAGCGGGCAUGGGUAACGUGGUCGGACAAAUGUUUGCUGUUCGUUUCCGGAUAACCAGCACAAGCUAGUGUAAACCACAAGCGGGGCAAGCGAUUCGAUUGGUACGAUCCGGCGUGUUGCUGCUUUCGAGAUCUACAAAAUAGGAGCAAGUAACCAACAGCACAGAGACCAGAGUAUGGGGCCAUGUAAAACAAUCCUCUGCCUCGAGCAUGUGGUGGAUGACCCACCGUGUUAAACAAUCCUGUCUCGCAUGACAGGGGAAUGUUAAAGCAGUCCUGCAACGCUCCUGCCACGUGGUAGAUGAUUAAACAAAAUACACAGGUCGUUGUCUCUAUCUCUGACGGAGUACCAAUUUUGCUUAAUAAUGUCCACCGAUACUUAUCUCUCAGUGUGCUAAGGUUGCUUAAUCUCAUCCACCAAGGUUUGGCUUAAAUUUGAAUUGGUUGCCUUUUGGCGAUUCCAUCAUUAAGCUUAACAUUAUCUCUUUUAUUUUAGGUGAGCUUAACAUGAUCUAAGGGCGCUCCAAAUGCAGAUACGAGCUUUCUGAAUCACGAGUUACUAUUAGAAAAAAAAAGACAUAUCAGUUUCAUGGGCCGGCCCUAACCGUAGCAUCGGGGGUCGCGGCCCCCCUGGAUGAACUGGGUCGCACGGCCUGCCUCGCGGUCGUUGCCUCACUUCCAAGGCCCAUCAGGACACUGUUUCAGAAGGAAAAGGAAAGUGCACGAUGAAUCAUCAUCUUCCCCAAAGCUCCAGAGUCCAGUGCAGUCCUCAAGCCGCCGCGACGAGAAAGAUGGCGGCCAUCUCGAACACGUCGAGCAAGAGGUUCGAUCGCUCCGCCUACUUGCCGCCCCCAUCUGCCCCUCGCAACUGCUAAUUUACUGGACCUUCGAGAAAAUUCCUCAUCUGUGUCGCACUAAUAUACAUGCGUAACGUAGGAUCGCUCUGGUUACCGGAGGGAACAAAGGGGUCGGGCUGGAGACGUGCCGGAAGCUCGCGUCUAGAGGGCUCAAGGUCGUGCUGACGGCGAGGAACGAGGCGAGGGGUCUGGAGGCGGUCGACGGCAUCAGGCGCUCCGGUGGUCCCGGCCAACCCGAUGUUAUCUUCCAUCAGUUGGAUGUCACCGACACUUCCAGCAUCGAUCGGCUGGCGGAUUUCGUCAGGGAUCAAUUCGGAAGGCUCGAUAUCCUGGUAUGGAUUCCCCUGUUUUGCUCUUUGAGGUUUUGCGCCGCGCAGAUUUGGGCUGAAGCAAGUGGGGAUGCAUACUGUUCCACUGAGAGCUUGUCAGAGUUAUGUAUUUAUUCAGACUCUUAAGUAGAAAUUGAACUUGCUAAACUUACAUAUAACGGUGGACACAUUUUUUUUUUUGGAAAGCACAGGUGAACUCAGUAAAUCUCUACAUUUUAGGGAGUACUAGUUAAAGCCGAGAUGAUGUUUUUACAGGUCUUGUAAGCUCUGCUGUGGAUACUCGAAACUCAUAAACUAAGAUGUGUUGGCUACUGAUUCCCGACCACAAAAACAUAGCAUUGCAUGUAUUAAUUUAUUUAUGUCUCUUGUAUAUGCAUCGGUGUUUGUAAUGCCUCACCUUGAUUGUGUUUUUUUUUUGUAGAUAAACAAUGCCGGCAUUUCAGGUGUUGACCGAGAUCCAGUUCUAGUUGCCAAAGUUAAGGAACAGGUAACUAAAGCGAACUGUUAUCAUGUCCUCAUUUGCAGUUUGUCAGCAGUUAAUAUCUACUUCUAUUUCAUAAUCAGGCAAAGUCAACAAAAUAAGAGUUGUUUCUGUAGUUGUUUGUUGCUAUCCAUCAAUCGCAGCAUAGACAUAAGAUCAUCAUUGUUUAACUGUACUGCCUACUGGAGCAUAGUUUAGUACAGGAAAACACAUCAUACUGAUGUCGUGGUACAGGAUGAACUUAAAGUUCGGAUUGUUAGAAAUCAAUUGUUGAAGUUGAAAAUCCUGAAAUUUUGCAUCGCAGACACCAUGUUUCUAUAGUGAAUUAUGUUUUGGAUGUUUUUCUUAGUGUUUUCUUCCUUUAAAAGACAUUACUAUUUUAAUGAUGUCCACAUUGCAUACUGAAGUACAUUAAUAUAUUUCCGAAUCAAACUAGGUAAAUAAGAUGUAUGGGUGCAAGUGGGUCGUCAUGGGCCCAACAAUUUUCUUUUUAAUGAAAUACCUACUCCCAGUUCCAACUCGACCAAAUUUCUGGAUCUGUCCCUGCUAACUCGGCUUCUAAUUUUAUCGGUGGUUUACUUGUGUACACUGAUUUGAACUUUUACAAAUGAACUAGGAUGGGUCUAUGGGUUCUCCUGACAUAACCCACUUGCAUCUCUAAUAAGAAGCUGCAAAACAAACAAUUAACUGUCUAUGUAUGGAUAGGUUGAAAGCAUGGAUGUAAAUCAGAGAGUUCAAUGGAUGAAAGAAAAUUCAAAGGAGACAUAUGAAGAGGCAAAAGAGUGUAUGAGAACGAACUACUAUGGGCCAAAGCUUGUCACCGAGGCACUACUUCCUCUUCUUCAGUUGUCCUCCUCUGGGAGAAUUGUCAAUGUCUCAUCAGGCUUUGGUCUGCUACGAGUAAGUAUUGCUAACGACCCUGCAAGUCGGCAGGACAAAUUAUAUUUAACUUUAUUUAUGCCAAAAUAUUUCUACAACCACAAAAUUGAUUUUAUUUUUAUUUCUUGAGAAGUGUAUAUGCGGUUUGCAGCGGUUCAUUAUGCUUUUCCAGUAAUUAUUUGGCAACAUAUCUUGUGCAAGCCUUCAUUCGGUGCAAACUUGCAGACUAUCUUCGUGAACUAUCAAAUCUAAAACGUGCGGUUCAGAUCAAAGGUGGGACUCAUAAUACCCACUUAAACAUGUUUUUCACAUAACCCCCUGUACUUAACCCACGUUGUCUUAUCUUUGAUUCCCACCUCUCAUCUGGACCGCACAUCGUAGAUCCUAUGGCUCGGGACGAAAGUUUGCAAGUUUUCACUGGAUGAAGGUUUGCACUUGAUACAUUGCCAUAUUGUUUCCUUCCUGUUGAGUGGAUUUUCAGGAUAAGACAUUUCUGUUUGCAUACAUGAUCGUAUGUCGGUAUAACUUGUUUCAUCAGAUACAGUAAACAUGUGAGAUGUGACUGCAUAUAUUGAAGGAGACUGUCUAUACUAUUACAUUCAAUGAUAUUACUACACUGACUAUGUUCUACACCAAAUACAAUCAUAUAUAUUUUAGGAGAGUGCAUAUACUGUAACUCAUUUUGCCAAAUGCUACUUCAUUCAAAUUUUCUGUGAUUCUGUGAUAUGAAUGUUCAUAUUGUUAGAGCUCACAUCUUUGAUCCUCCUCGCACAUUAUUUUUCUUGUGAGAAAGCAUAGUAGUUCAGAUUACAGAAACUUAGGCAACCAGUUCUUUUUAGUUGAUAUCUACUGUUUUGCUUGAGCAGAACUUUAACAGUGAAGAACUUAAGAAGGAACUCAAUGACAUUGACAACCUUACUGAAAAAAGACUGGAUGAGCUGUUGGAUUUGUUCCUAGAAGAUUUCAAGGCCAACUUAAUAGAGGCACAUGGAUGGCCAACGGGUGGCUCUUCAGCCUACAAAGUUGCCAAAGCUGCCCUCAAUGCAUACACUAGGAUUCUAGCCAAGAAGUUCCCUACAAUGCGCAUCAACUGUUUAACACCUGGUUAUGUGAAGACUGACAUUUCAAUGCACAUGGGAGUAUUGACACCUGAGGAGGGCGCUAGCAACCCUGUGAAGGUUUCUCUCUUGCCUGACGAUGGCCCAACUGGUGCUUAUUUUGAUAGGGAUGGUGAGGCGUCUUUUGUGUGAUCGCGCCAUGCCUUCUACGUUGUCUCCCAUUCUCACUUUCAGAAUGAGAGCCAUCAAGAGAUAUAUACUGUAAUAGUUGUCAAUAAGCAAUGUAGUUUGACCUUUGCUCAAUUCGACGUGCGGAAGAUAAGAACAGUUUGACCGUAUUGCUGUAAUAAUAGCUUCUCCACUUUUGUUAUAAAAAAACAGAAAAAGUGGGGGAACCCAGUUGCCAUGUUUCCGUGAAACGAAUGCUACACAUAGGAAAAUAGAAAAAAUUCACAAGGACUUGUCCUUUUUGGAUAAAAAGCAAUAAAACAUAGAAAACAGAAGAACAUAGAAUUGUCCAAGUUUAUUACUAUGGAAAAAAGAGGUUAUAGUUAAUGUUUAUUUUUCUCGAAAAACAUAGGAACUCAAUAAAAUUUGUAAGAAUCACUUUGCUUGUUCCCUACAAAACGAAUGCACCUAGAGUGAAUUUUCUUACGUAAUUUUAAUUCCUUUGUAUUUUGUAUAAACCCUGUAAAAAUCCAGAAAACCGAAUGAGCCGGCCCCUUUGAUUCAAAGGAAUUUCAGAGGAUUAUAUUUCCGGGUUAUUUUUUUCUAUACAGAUUGUUUGAUUCACAGGAUUUUAAACGAUUUUUUUUCUAAGGACUACUUUGCAUGCAUAUCAAAAGAAAAGUUUCCAUGAUGUCUAACUUCAAGGAAAAUUUUCUUUGUAUUUAUGAGAACUAUAGCUAGCAGCCAGUCCAUCAAAUAAGUCUUUUUUUUCUUUGGCGCAAGCAAACGACUUUCAUUGUAUAUUCCCAUGUUUUGGAUUCCUGUAUAAUUCAACAUGGCCUGCCAUUCAAUUCCUGCAAUUUUUCUACUCUUUUUUUCAAUCCUACAAAUUAAAAAGACACUACUCCUUCCCUUUCAAAAUAAGUGAUGUGGAUUUGUAUAAGAAUAUAUACAAAUCCAUCCAAGUCAGUUAUUUUGGGAUGGAGGGAGUACUGUCUAAUAAGUUGGUUUCUUUGCCUUGUUAGUAGCACUCUAAAAAUACUCAUAGUUUAUUAUACUUGGUCUCACUUCAUCACUCUCAUCAAAUAUUGAUUCGUUUAAAUAACGCUGAAUCACCUCGUUGGAGAUUCACAAAGCCCGAUACCGACCGUCUGAAUCCAAACAAUCCAAACCCGAAGCCGUAAAACCCGAAGCCCAAAACCAAACAGAAUUUUCAGGUGUCUUGUUUUAAUUUUCGGUACCCGAAUGGGCCAAAUAUCCCGAGAAAAAAGAGCAUUCAUACGAUUUUGGCCCGAACUCAACUCCCCAGUUAAAACCUUAGCUCAACCCAACACAACUACUCUAGUCUCCCUUGACUCCACCAGUGCAGUCCCCAAGACCCCAACUGCCGCGAGAAGAAAGAUGGCGGCCAUCUCGAACCCGUCGAGCAAGAGGUUCGAUCGCUCUUCUGCCCUAUGCAAACUAAUUUACUGGCUCUUCGAAAAAUUUCUCAUCUAUGCCGCACACCUGUGCGUAGCGUAGGAUCGCUCUGGUUACUGGAGGGAACAAAGGGAUCGGGCUGGAGACGUGCCGGCAGCUCGCGUCUAGAGGGCUCAAGGUCGUGCUGACGGCGAGGAACGAGGCGAGGGGCCUGGAGGCGGUCGACGGCAUCAGGCGCUCCGGUGGCGCCGGUCAACCCGAUGUUGUCUUCCAUCAGUUGGAUGUCACCGACCCUUCCAGCAUCGACCGGCUGGCGGAUUUCGUCAGGGAUCAAUUCGGAAGGCUCGAUAUCCUGGUAUGGAUUCCCCUGCUUUGCUCUUUGAGGUUUUGAGAAACGCUGAUUUUAGCUGAAGCAAGUGGGAAUGUAUACUGUUCAGCAGAUAGACUCUUAUGUGCAAGAACUUGCUAAAAUUCAAUGGAAUAUAAGUAACUACAUACACUACAUAAUUAAAGAGAACGUUGUACUACCAUCUAUUGUCUUAUAUAUCAUAUAUUUUUUCUAAUUUCACUUGUUUGUACAAGAUCAACAACUGAUGGUUUCGAAGGUAUGAUGGAUCACCGCCACCAAUUGAGCCUUUUAUAAAAGUAAAGAUAAAGAUAAACAGGUUUCUUUUUUGCCGAAAGAACAGGUGAACCCAGUAAAAUUCUUGCUCCUACCAGGCUUAUACUAGUUGAAGUUGAGGUGACACUUUUACAAGUCUUGUAAGCUCUGCUGUUGAUAUUCAAUAGUGCAGAUGUUUCAACUAUUGAUUUCGGGUCCCCAAAACAAAGCAUGGCAUAUUAAUUUAUCUGUGUCUCUUGUAGAUUUGUUUUAGACAAUGAUGUCUCGUAUAUGCAUUGGUGUUUGUGUACAAGUGAUUUUUCUGCAGUCUUUGUAACGCAUCACUCUGAUUAUGUGACUUGUUAUUUGUAGAUAAACAACGCAGGCAUUUCAGGUGUUGACCGAGAUCCAGUUCUGUUUGCCAAAUUUAAGGAACAGGUAAGUAAAGUGAACUAUUAUCAUGUCCUCAUUUGCAGUUUGUCAGCAGUUAAAUCUACCUCUAUUUCAUAAUCAGGCAAACUUAACAAAAUAGUAAUCGCAUAUUUCUGUUCUUUUUCCAAGGGCCAUAUUUCUGUAGUUAUGUGUUGCCAUAUAUCAAUCACAUCAUAGACAAAAAAUUAUCAUUGUUGAACUAUACUGCCUACUGUAGCAUAGUUUAGUACAGGAAAACACUUCAUGCUGAUCUCGUGAUACAGGAUGAACAUUUUUUUUUGAAGAGAAUACAGGAUGAACAUAAAAGUUUGGAUAGUAAGAAAUCUUUCGUUGAAGUUGACAAUCCUGAAAUUGUGCAUGGCAGGCACCUUUUUGAAGAAAACACGGCAGGCACCUUGUUUCUAUAGUGAUUUAUGUGUUGAAUGUUAUCUUAGUGUUUUGUUCCUUUAAAAACAUUACUAUUUUAAUGAUGUCGACCAUAGUACAUACUGAAGCACAUUAAUAUAUUUCUGAAUCAAACUAGGUAAAUAAGAAGUAUGAGUAUCCGAGGUGUUUUUUCUUGUUACACACUACAUAAACACGAUAUAAUCCUACAAAGGAUCAAUUAAUAACUUAUGGAUCAUCCCUAUUUUUAAUCACAAUUGGGGAAAACACAAGAUCUUACGUGCGCCGACGAUCAUAUCAGUACUGCAGAGAUCAGAGUAGAGAACAUGCUGGACGCGCUGCAGUUUUGUUUGUGUGUUCUUCAGGCGAGCAGGUGACAAUCCGAUGCAUCAAUGCUUACCUGCCUCGUUGGUUAACAAGCAGCCAAGGAGAAUUCACAAAGGCCCAAGUGACCUAGUGCUGAAGUAAUCAUGAGGCAUAGCUUUGAAACUGAGGACGUGAGAGGCUAGGAAUAGAUCAGAAUUUCUUCUUUUCUUAUGUGGUACACGUAUAUGGACAUAUACACUGUUUUUUGUUUGGAAAAAAACAUGGGUAUGUCUUGCAUACCCAGGCAUUACUCUAGCUCCGCCCCUGUGUAAGUUGGUCAUUAUCGGGCCACGUCACUUGGCUUCUAGUCGUAUCGGUGGUUCACUUGUGUACACUGAUUUGAACUCUUACAAAUGAACAAGGAUGAAUUGAUUGGUCGGUCUGACCCAACCCACUUACAUCUCGCAUAAGAAGUUCUAGAACAACAAUUAACUGUAUGUAUGGAUAGGUCGAAAGCAUGGAUGUAGAUCAGAGAGUUCAAUGUAUGAAAGAAAAUUCGAAGGAGACAUAUGAAGAAGCAAAAGAGUGUAUGAGAACGAACUACUAUGGGGCAAAGCUUGUCACCGAGGCACUACUUCCUCUUCUUCAGUUGUCCUCCUCUGGAAGAAUUGUCAAUGUCUCAUCUGGCUUUGGACUGCUAAGAGUAAGUAUUGCUAUCCACCCUGCAAGUCGGUAGGACAAAUUAUAUUUAACAUUAUUUAUGCUAAAAUAGUUUCCGCAAUAGCAUUAUUGAUUUAUUUUUUUGAGUUUUGAAAAAUUUAUAUACAGUAUGGAGCCUUGCAAUAUGCUUCACCGGUAAUAUUAUUUUCUUCCUGCUGAAUGGAUUUUUUUGACGGGCAAGCAGGUUUACUGCGAUUCAUUAAGAAGAGGGAAAACUGUACAAUGUAGAGAAAUACAAAAUUAAGAAAAAAACAGAGGCCGGAUACGGUGGCCACCCUAGUAAAAGCAGCUACUCCUUUCUUGCCUCACUGUAGAGGCUUAAGUCGUUCUUAAUCAAAACAAUCACUCCUUCUGCAGAGAGCGCUUCCUUUUGGAAGAUUCGCCAGUUUCUUUCUUUCCAAAUGUUCCAAAUUGUGUAAGAUGCCACUGUUAAGUCAAAGUGCAUUUCCUUUUGAUUUCCAAAAUUGGUAACACGUCUCUACCAUUUUUUCAAAGAGGGGGCCUGUUGAAUGGAUUUUCAGGAUAAGGCAUUUCGAUUUGCAUACAUGUUCUUAUUUCGCUGUAACUCAUUUCAUCAGAUGCAGUAAACAUGUGACUGUGAGAAGUGUUGCAUGUACUGAAAGGGGAGUGUCUAUACUUUCACAUUCAAUGAUAUUCCUACACUGACUAUGUUCUACCCCAAAUACAAUCAUAUAUACUGUAGGAGAGUGCAUAUGCUGUAACUCAUUUUGCCAGAUGCAAAUUCAUUAUUAUUUUCCGUAAUAAGAAUGUUCGUGUUGUUAGAGCCCACAUCCUCGAUCCUCCUCACGCGUUAUUUUUCUUGUCAGAAAGCAUAGCGGUUCAGAUUAAAGAAACUUAGGCAGCCUACUGGUUCUUUUUAGUUGACAUGUACUGUUUUCUUGAGCAGAACUUCAACAAUGAAGAACUUAAGAAGGAAUUCAAUGACAUUGACAACCUUGCUGAAAAAAGACUGGAUGAGCUGUUGGAUUUGUUUCUGGAAGAUUUCAAGGCCAACUUAAUAGAGGCACAUGGAUGGCCAACGGGUGGCUCUUCAGCCUACAAAGUGGUCAAAGCUGCCCUCAACGCAUACACUAGGAUUCUAGCCAAGAAGUUCCCUACAAUGCGCAUCAACAGUUUGACUCCUGGUUAUGUCAAGACUGACAUGUCAAUGCACAUGGGAGUAUUGACACCUGAGGAGGGUGCUAGCAACGUUGUAAUGGUUUCUCUCUUGCCUGACGAUGGCCCAACUGGUGCUUAUUUUGAUAGGGAUGGUGAGGCGUCUUUUGUGUGACCGCGCCGUACCUUUUACGCGGUCUUCCGCUCUUACUUUCAGAACGGGACUGACAGAUUUAUACUGUAAUAUUUGUCAUUAAACAAUGUAAGUUUGACCUUUGCUCAAAUCGACAUGCUGGAGAUGGAAAUAGUAUAACUUUACUCUGAGUUUCUCAACUUUUUGUGUCAUCUUUCUGGAAAUGAUUGCAGUGACGUUAAAUGUGCUCUGAAGAAUGCUUCACAUGUUUCUUGCUUUCGUAGCCACGGGCGUGGCGUCACUGGUUAUGUCAGCGCGUGAUGACCUGUGCCGGGCGACCGUCGACCAGCAACACAAGGGGGACCGAGAUACCACCGGAGCAGUUACAAGUAUCCCUCUUUCCUCCCUCCCAUAAUCUAUCUGAUUUUGAGCCACGCUGGUAGCCCUCCUCUGCCACCGUGUUGCUCGAGCUCCUGGUGCACCCAGCAUGGAAGGAGCCAUCUCCAAGCCGCCAUACACGAGGUUCGAUCGCCUCUGCAUGCUUAAUUAGCUCUUGACGUCGCCGUUUAGUCUCGUUAAGAAUCUCGACUCUAGUGAUACAUGUUGUAGUACUAUCUUGUAUGUACUGCUCUGAUCAUUGCCGUUAAUUUGUAGGAGGAUUGCCGUCGUCACCGGCGGGAACAAGGGAAUUGGUCUCGAGGUGUGCCGGCAACUGGCCAGCGACGGCGUCACGGUAGUUUUGACGGCCCGGGACGAGAAGAGGGGCGCGGAUGCCGUGGAGAAGCUCAAAGCGCUGGGGCUCUGCGACAUCCUGUUCCAUCAGCUGGAGAUCACGGACUCUUCGAGCAUUGCUGCACUGGCCGAUUUUCUCAAGACUCGUUUUGGGAGGCUAGACAUUCUGGCAAGUUUUCGUUUCCCUGUCUACGCCUCCUAGGUGCGUCCAAGGAUUGAUGAACAGGUUGAUAGAUACACUCUGUUAUCUUGCAGGUGAAUAAUGCCGCAGUCAGUGGGGUUGAGCACGUCCAAGAAGUCGAUACCAACGAGGAAAAGGUGAGCUCACGAAGUCAGAGGAUCCACGUUAACCUGAUGCGGAAACAUCAUCCUGACAAAAUGCUUAGAGACGCGUCAAACUAAACAAGUUUAUUUUAUGAUGCGUGCAACAGUUUAAUGGCAUGGAUCUCAACCAGAGGCUUGAAUGGGUGCUGAAAAACAUCCGGGAUACCGUCGACGGCGCGAAGAAAAGUAUCCAGACAAACUACUACGGUACGAAGCAUGUAAUCGAUACGUUGCUACCUCUGUUGCAAUCUUCUAACGGGGGAAGAAUUGCGAAUGUCACCUCCGCCUAUGGACUCCUAAGGGUAAGUUUUUUCCUUCCUCCACUGGUCAUGGAAUCCCAAAUCCCAGUAGACCAGUACUACCAUAUUCAAGGGAUUUUCUUCUAUGCGCAGCGUAUCAACAACGAGGAGAUCAGGCAGGAGCUUGACGACAUCGAAAAUCUGACCGAGGAGAGGCUGGACGAGCUCCUGGGCAAGUUUCUGAAAGACUUCGAGGCCGACGCGCUAGAGAUGCACGGGUGGCCCGUAGGGCUCGCGGCGUACAAGGUGGCCAAGGCCGCCAUGAACGCCUACUCGAGGAUCUUGGCGAGGAGGAACCGCGCGCUGCGCAUCAACUGCGUGCACCCGGGCUACGUGAAGACCGACAUGUCCAUGAGCUCGGGGGUGUUGACACCCGAGGAGGGCGCGCGUAGCGUCGUGAACGUGGCGCUGCUUCCUGAUGGCGGGCCCACCGGCGCGUACUUCGCCAUGGGUCAGGAGGCGUCAUUCGUGUGAGGUCGACACUGGGCCCAUACAUGCAUGGCCCGUUGGCCCGAUGACCCCCAGCUGGUUCGCCGCUCACUGUAUGGUUGAUCAUAAAUGCUGGUUUGAGAUCCCCCUAAAAAAAAAAGUGCUGGUUUGAGGUUGAGAAUAAGAAGUGGGAUUGGAGUUGUUCUUGUUUGAAUUAAUACGGUAUAUGUUUUUUUAGAGAACGGAAAAUACUUUGUGUCUCGAGGCAUUGAUUAAGAGAAACAAAAGGAUUGAUACAACUUAAUUCAUGAUUACUACACUACACGACUACGCUAAUGUCCCAACCGCCCUAGCACUAGCCCAAAACUGAACAUCAGCCUAGAUCAGUUGGGUGAGUGAAGAGAUAUUGGAAGUCGCAUUGUCACAGCUAGGUUCGUCGGGAUCCUUCCAGAUCCACCGGACCGUGAGCAUGAUGAGAAGCAAUGUCCUUGUGAGCCGAGGAAGGGGUGGAACUGAAUGCCGCCUGCCACCAGUCUGCGAAGAGGACAUCUACGGUCGGCGGGAUACCGUGAGAAUAAAGUACCUCAUGCCACAACCCUCUGUGAGAAGGAGCAAACCAACCAAGAGGUAUUCCUUGUUAGUAGGUACAGUAAUACGCUUUACUCACUCCUCCUAAAUAUACAGAAUACUCCCUCUAUUCCUAUUAAUUGGCCACAUAAAUUUCACAAAAAAACCUUGCUAUUUUUCGAAAUCAAGCUGCACUCCAUGUUCUACUGGAUUUUUUGCAAAAAAAAAAACCUAUAGUUUUUUCAAAUCAACACGCAGUCCCCGUUUAAUUGAAGAUGUGUACUGCAGGUUGAUUUCAUAAAUUAAUUGGGAACGGAGGAAAUAUAUAAGAUCAAUGAUAGGAUACACCUUGUUUAUUUACAAUUCAUGAACUUAUAUUAAAGUAAUUUAGUACUCCGUAUAUCCAGUUAUUAGAGACGAGCGGUCAGUAAAUAUGGUUACUAGAGGCAAUAAAAAAAUACCAACCCAUAACCAAAACUCUAGACACAAAUAGGGUCCUUAGGGCAUCUCACCGAGCAGGUAUUUAGAGUCUUUUUCUUACUUUUUGGCUGAGGUGGAACAAAAAGGUGAAGAGUGGUAUGCUGCAGAAGUAACAACCUUGACACAAGGAUCAAGAAUAUGAGAAGAUAAUUUAAUGAAGAAAUGGGUCCAAACUGAAAAAAUUACUUUGAUAAAUGAUUGAUCCAAGAGGGAGAAAAAAGAGAAGGAAAGAGAGAAACUAAGUACCGGUACUUUGCUGUUGAGGAUGCCCUCAGGAGAUCACGGCCACGAUCCAGCGCCUCUCCACCAGGCGUUGUCGACGAGCUUGGAGAUUUCCACCAAGGACCUGUUUCCAUCUCAUCAGCAUGCAUUGAUGCAUGACAACCCAGCACCGAUCACCCACCGGUCUGGGUCCUGCCGCCGUUUUAGUGCCGGAAGUGAGCGAUCCUGACACGGCGCUUCUGUCAAGUAGCCAUCUCGGCCAGUUCACGUUAUCCAUUACAUCCUCUACAAGUUUCUCUUUCUUUCCUUCGGGCCCCCUUUCCUUCUUCCCAUUUCCGAUCUGAUUUUGAGAGAGCCAUCUCACUCGUGGUGCACCAAUCAUGGAAGGAUCCAUCUCCAACCCACCAGACACGAGGUUAGCCGUCCCGCUGGGCGCUGGCCUCCCUUCCCUGGUAUAAAUGUAUCUUUGUACGAACUGCUCUGAUCUCCUCGCGCUGGUACCGUAGUAUCGCCGUCGUCACCGGCGGCAACAAGGGGAUCGGUUUCGAGGUGUGCCGGCAACUGGCCGGCGGCGGCUUCACGGUCGUUCUGACGGCCCGAGACGAGACGAGAGGCGCAGAGGCCGUCGAGAAGCUCAAGGCGCUCGGGCUCUCCGGCGUCGUCUUCCAUCAGCUGGAUAUCACGGACGCUUCCAGCGUUGCUACCCUGGCCGAUUCCUUGAAGGCCCGUUUUGGGAGGCUGGACACUCUGGCAAGUUCCCGUUUCCCUCUGUGCUCCUGCUAGCUGCAUCCAAGGCGUGUUUGCUCGAUGCAAUCGGCAAUUGAUAGGAUGAUAGAUGUACUCUGUUAAUUCGCAGGUGAAUAAUGCCGCGGUUACUGGGGUUGAGCACGUCAUCGAUAGCACCAACGAGGAAAAGGUGAGGUCAGGUUGAGUUUGCUAGGGACUAGUAAUACGUUACCUUCCUUUUCGAAAAAAAAAAAGGGGACUAGCACUACGUACGUGGCUCUGUUCUGAAAUUGCUCGGAGACGCGCCGAACUGAACAUGUUUAUUGUUGAUGCGUGCGCAACAGUUCAGUGGCCUGGAUCCCUACCAGAGGCUUGAGUGGAUGCUGAAUCAUAUCAAGGAGACCAUCGACGGUGCAACGAAAAGCGUGCAGACAAACUACUACGGCACGAAGAAUGUGACCCAAGCCCUGCUGCCUCUCCUGCAAUCUUCCUCCGCGGGACGAAUAGUGAAUGUUUCCUCCGACUCUGGACUGCUAAGGGUAAUUAGGUUCGUUUCACUGAUCAUGCUAUCCCGGCCAGUAUUAAACCCAAGGAUUUUCGGCUCCGUAUAUGCAGCUUAUCAGCAACCAGGAGGUGAGGAUGGAGCUCGACGACAUUGGCAACCUGACCGAGGAGAGGCUGGACGAGCUGCUGGGCAAGUUCCUGAAGGAUUUCGAGGCCGGAGCGCUGGAGGCGCACGGGUGGCCCACGGGGUCCGCGGCGUACAAAGUGUCCAAAGCCGCCAUGAACGCGUAUUCGAGGAUCUUGGCAAGGACGCACCCCGCGCUGCGCGUCAACUGUGCGAGCCCAGGGUAUGUCAUGACCGACAUGACCAGGAAUUCCGGUGUGCUGACGCCCGAGGAGGGCGCGCGCAAUGUCGUCGCGGUGGCGCUGCUGCCGGACGGCGGGCCGACCGGCGCAUACUUCACCGAGGGUCUGGAGGCGUCGUUCGUGUGAGAUAUCGGCCAUACGUGCACGGCCCGAUGAUGAGAAUAAGAGAUCAUCGAAGAUGGACAUAAGGAUAUACGGAGUACUUAUUAAUUUCCGAUGACGAAUGAUCGAAACCGUAUUGUUCUUGUCCGAAUGAACAAGCUAGCAUGCUGGUGAUCAGGGCAGUGCGGCGACUCGCGUCCACCACUCUUCAGUUUAAUUCUCCACCUACGGACGCUUAAAUACCUACACCAACUAGUUAAGCGCCCAGUAAUCGUGCAUCAGUGGAGGUCGACUGUCGGGCGUUGCGCUCGUGACCUAAAUACCCCGGUUCUGUCCAUGGCAGAAUGACAUGUCACGUGGAUUCGCAUCUAUGAUCUUUCAUCUUUGAAUUGGCUUCAGAUUUCUCCUCAACAUCAUACAUCAUGUGCUUCUUCUUCUUCACGAGCUGAAGAACGUGUUUGGAAGUGGUUUGUUUUGGGAAAAACAGAUUUUUUUGGGGAAAUUAAAAGGGAGUAAAUGACUUGAACCUUUUGGAUUUAACUAAACCCAGAUAUAUUUCAAAGUAUUUGAAAAAUUGUAUUUGAGGUUUGUAUAUUUUAUGAAACUCAAAUACCAUAUAGUUUGGGAUUGUUUCCAAAUAUUUAAACAACCUUUGGAAAUUAUUUACAAGUCCCAUUUAAAUUUAAACGACUUUGAAUUCACAUACUUCUAAAUAUUUCGAACUUGCUCAAAAUUAUUUGAUACUUUCACAGUAUGCAGAUAAACUGUUACCAAACCUGCAUCUUAAAUUUCAUAAUUUUUGGAUUUGAUUUGAGCCUCCAAAUGAAUUAAACAAAGUCUGGACCGAAACCAAAAUAGGAGUAUUUCUCUGCACAUGGGACACCCUUUGAUUGCCAGUUUGACCUUUGACUGAGCCCUCUUCACCAUCUCUAUGUCGUGCGGGCCCCGCCAACAUCAGCUCGUCCUCCUCUCCCACGUCAGCUCCGUCCCUUCUCUCCGUAGCGCCCGUUCCCUCUGUCCUGCCGGAAUUGCCGUCGCCGCCGCGGGCCCCGCCGUCCUCGCCGGCACUGCUCGCCACUGCUCUUCCCCCUCGUUUUUAUCGUUCUCCCCGCAGCACCCCCGUCCCCCAUCUAUUUCUUCUCCCUCAUUCCUCUCCUUUCUUCCGAAUCCGCUCUGUUCUCUCUUCUUCUUCCCCACCGAGCCGCCUCCUGCUUUCUCUCCGGUGAGCUCGCCGAGCUCGAACCGCCCUAUUCCGCUCAAUCGACAAGUCCCUAAGAACCUCCGCGUAGCCCCACUCUCUCUCCCGCAUCUCCUGGACGCCGCCGCGCACCAGGGGCGCCGUGUGCCGCUAGUCUUCUCCACCUCCGGCCGGCCACCGCCGUGGCACGCGCCGCCGUUCCAGGGAGCCCCUGACCCCGAAGCCAAGUCUAGAAGAACCGAGGCACCGCGAUGAAGCCGAUUCCGCCUUGUUCUCAACCUCUCGCGCGCCGAGCCGUCCCCGCGUUGGAGCUCCUCCGCCGCCGCGCGAGCUCCUCGUCGCCGGCCUCCUCCAGUGCCGCACCUCCACAUGAGCCGUUGCCAUCCAGUUAUACCUGCCGGUGCGCACUUAGAGAGCGCCCCGGAGCGCCUUCUCGACCACCGGAGCUCCGCCCGCGCCGCCGUCUCCUUCGGCUCCGGCGAGAUCCCGCCGACGCCGCCGUUCGACUCCAUCGGCCAUGGCAUCCCUCUCGAGCCCCUGGUAAGCUCCUCUCCUCUCUUCCUCUCUCCCUCGUAGUCCGACGCUUCCGGCCGUGCCGCGCCGACGAGCUUCGACUCCGCCGGCAGCGCCGCGCCGCGCGCGGUAUGGGCGCGCACCGGGUGCCGCUCCCGUUCCCCGCCUCCCCUCUUUGCCAUGGUGGGCUGCGCCAUGUGAGUACGUGACAGCCCAGGAAAGCGCACUCCUUGCCAGCCCAUUCCCCAGGUAAAGAAAAGAAAAAAAAAAGAAACGGAAAACUGGGCCGAAGCCUAUUACAAAUUCCGAACCGGCCCAGUAGACAAACUGGAUUUCCCUCCUCUCUUAUUAAAUCUCUGACGUGCUUCUAAAAAAAUUCUCUGACGUUGGGCCCUGGUGUCAGUCACUGUUGGCCUGUUUAAUUGGAAAAAUAGGAAAAACUAUUUACAGUAAAUCUGCCAUUGGAUUAAAAUGCAAAUAAUUAUUUGCAGAAAAAUCCUAAAAUGUGUAACAGUGGCAUUGGUUAUAUGAUUUCAUCUAGUUUAUUUUAUUUUAGUAAUUAUUAUAUAAAAAAUUAGUGUAAUGUCUUUGUGAAUUUAUUAAAAAAAAGAACUAAGUGUUUGUAAAUAAGAAAAUGAUUAUUAAAUUAAUAGCCUAAAAAACUAUGAGACUGGUUUUGUUAAACUUGUUUUUGAGCCCCCUUGUACAAAGUGGACUGGUUUUAAGAGUUUUGGGUUAUUGAUUGUAUUUAUGUGAACUGGCACAUAUGGCCGUGCGUUGCUUCGGGUCAAAUACUUUGUUUUUCCCGUGAUCCCUUCUUCCUCCUCGUGUCGUCCUGGCCAAGGAACGAUGCCUUGUUCUGCGGGUUUCCACCCCAGAGAAAGACUUUGACGAGGGUAUAUCUUUGAGACGCCAAUUUGGUAAUAAAAGUUUUACUUGCUGAUAAAUUUUCAUGAAAUAUGUGUCAGGUAGGAAAGAUGCUCCUUUUUGGAAAUAUUAUGUAUAUGGGCUUGUGCAACUUACUCUUUGAGUAAUCAGCCAUAAUUUUUUAUGUUUCCUUUAUAGUUUUUUUAAUAAAUCCAAUGCAGUAAACAAUUAAUAAUCUACUCGAGAAAUGAAGUUACCAAGGCAACAACGACAUAAACAAUCGAAACAAAUAACAGAUAUGCAUAUAGCGCAACACAAACACACAUCUCAUAAAAAAAAUACAUGCAUGAUUCCCCCCUUUUUUUCAAAACCUUAAGCUGAAAACAAUUUUUAGUAGGCUUGAGAAUAUUCGAAAUCCCUUUUUACGAACAAGGGUGUUUAAAAAUUUAAUAGGGUCCUAUUGUUUUAGAAACCUUAACAUGAAACGUCCAAUGAGUCACUGACGGUAUGAAAAAAAGUCAGACGUGAAUCGGGCUAUUUUCGUUUCUGUCAUGGCAUUCAUGACCGACAUGACUCAUGGAUUUCAAUUCUUCUUGCGUGGCCAGAGACAACCUGGAGACAUUGUCUUUUAGAUUUCUAGCUACCGGCCCUGGAAGAUUAUAUAUAUUAAGAAAAUAUAGAGCUAAGUGCAAACCCACGGUCCAUUUACGGAUUACAACAGUAGCAUCUGGGGUAUGUCGUCCGAAGGCGAGUAAACUCGGAUUCUUGCAAGGGUAAUCAUCUGCUAGGAUAUUGCAAUAUUGCAAUCCCCAAACACGAUUUUAUUGACACCAUUACACUAUUGCUAGACACCUAAAUCUGAUUAGAGAUAUUCUAGUGUUGUCAGGCUGUUGAUUUUUGAAUCACUGUGUGUUAAUGCUUGUAUAGAUGCUGAUAAUUAUUUUAUAAAUGAUAAAAAUGUAGAACUUGAUUAAAAAACUAAGAUUGGCUAUGUGUGUAUUAUGAUUGUGACAAACCAUCCACGACCCAUUUUUGCUAGCGGCCGGAGUAGUUCGGCAUAUUCCAAUGGAUCACGUGAAACUCGCCUGAAAAUCGAGACAGUGACCAUAUAGUAUAGUUUAGGAACGGCGGACUGCCAGAGGCCGCAAGAUGCGCUAUUUUUAACAAAAAGAUACCCAAUCAUUCAUCUCUCCCAUACUUAGUUGUCUUCGUGCUUUUUUGACACGUCCUACCUCGUGAUUGUUCUGCAUCUGGAGUUGGAAUAGGCUGCCGCGUCAGCCUCAUUUUCCAUUUCCCCUAUAAUAAACGGCUAUUCCCCUUCAUCCCUUCUCCACUCCAACUCAGGCCGCCGCACGUACCGACGACCCCGUGUUAUAUCGCGAGCUCGAAUUUUUUGGAUCCUGAACUGAGGCUUGUCAAUUUUUCAAUCAGGGCUCGACAACAGCCCGAGUGGAAAGCUUGAUCUGUCAGGUGGAAGUACGCGCAACGUUUUGUAUUCCGACAUUAAAUUUCGUGUUGAAAGGUCAAUUUUUGUGCUCAUGGAAGGAGCCAUUCCCAUUUCCUGGAACACAAGGUACAUACAAACUACAUGCCGUAUCUCCAUGGAUUUUCUUGCCAAGAAAGGCGAAAUGGCCUCUCUAAAAUCUGAACUUCGCAUGUAUUGUUCGAUUGCCGUUGCUAGGAUUGCUGUGGUCACCGGCGGCAGCAAAGGGAUCGGGCUAGAGGUGUGCAAGCAACUGGCAGGCAGCGGCAUCACGGUCGUCCUCACAGCCAGGGAUGAGACGAGGGGGACGGCGGCGGUCGAGCAGAUCGUACGCUUGGGCCACUCAGAUGUGAUUUUCCAUCAGCUAGACAUCACGGAUGCUCUGAGCAUCGCUCGGUUGACUGACUUUCUGAAGGCUCGUUUUGGGAAGCUUGACAUUCUGGCAAGUUUUUAUUCGUCUCCCGGACAAUCUUUAUCUUCACUGUUCAGGAAGAUCGCUUACUACUACAGUACUAUACUAUUGAUUUUUUUCCCGCAAUUUUUUUUUUUGAACUUUUGGUAUGACCAGUGAUUGAUGAACAGUCUGAUUCACAGGUGAAUAAUGCCGCUACUGAUGGGAUUGAGCAAGUACUUGAUCCUGUUUAUGGUUCGAUACCCGGCGACGAAAAGGUAACCAUUUUGACAUGUACUUUACGAGACCUUCAGUUUCGAAAAAAAAGAAAGUGUGAUCAGCCACCAAUAUGUCAUGUCCUCAAUUAAUGGACUAAUUGGUCCAUGUUCUUAAAAAGAAUCCUCAUGCGUUCUGCAACGGCUCGUACGACAACUGAACAAGUUUCCUUCCUCUUUGCGUGCAUGCAACAGUUCGAUGGAAUGGAUGCGUACCAGAGAAUUGAUUGGAUGUGGGCCAAUUGCCGGGAGACUUACGAGACCGCAAAACAGGGCCUGCAGACGAACUACUACGGGACCAAGCGGGUAACAGAAGCUCUCCUGCCCCUGCUCCAAUCCUCCUCAGAUGGAAGGAUCGUCAAUGUCUCCUCCAACUUCGGAUUACUAAGCGUAAGCAUCAUAAUUAAAUCACACUCUAAAAAUUAUUUCACACACACACACACACACAAACAGAAGAUAAAUCCGUAGUAAGAUUUCUCUUUUGCGGCUGCAGCUUUUCCGCAAUGAGGAGCUGAAGCAGGAGCUGAACGACGUCGAACGCCUGACGGAGGAGAGGCUGGACGAGCUGCUGGCCAUAUUCCUCCAAGACUUCGAGGCCGGCGCAGCGGAGGCGCGCGGGUGGCCGGCGGAAUUCUCGGCGUACAAGGUGGCCAAGGCGGCCAUGAACGCGUACUCGAGGAUCUUGGCGAAGAGACACCCGGAGCUGCGCCUCAACUGCGCGCACCCGGGAUACGUAAGGACCGACAUCACCAGGAACUCCGGGAUCCUGACGCCCGAGGAGGGCGCGCGCAACGUCGUGAAGGUGGCGCUGCUGCCGGAAGACGGGCCGACCGGCGUGUACUUCCACGAGGGCCAGGAGGCGUCUUUCGUGUGAUAGUAGCAGUACUGUUCCACCGUCGUGCUAUGUGCUGCCAUAAUCUGCAAGGCAAGAUUGAGAAGAAGCGAGGUCGAGAGUUAUUGUAUUUUGUUACGUGUAAACCUGUCGGAUUGAUCGUCCUGUUACUGCUCGGCCUCGAGUUGGUAUCACACCGGUGAUUUUUUUUAGGGGAUGUUAUCACACCGGGGUUCUUCCUCUCUUCUCCCAUCUAUAGCACCAUGGCCCACAAACCUCAAUGAGCCCACCCAGGCCCCGGCCCAUUUGGCUGGAAAGGCCGAGAUAAAAUUGAAAAGAAGGAUCUACCAUAUAAACCAAAAGAAAA